CACACCCCGGGGUGUCUUUUUAGUUGUAAGUCAGCGAAAAAAUGCCCAAACCUUUUUUUUUGAAAACUUUGACCUAAAAAGAUGACAGAGCCGCCACAAAUACAGGAAACUCACUGAUCUCACGGACAGAGCCUCUCCUAUAUUUGCACGGCGUCGCACGAGUACAAGUACAACCACAAUCAUUCACAACAUAGCGUAUAUUUACAUUUUCAUAAAAAAACCUUUUAAAAAUCGUUUCCCACUUGGAAACCUUUUCUAUAAAGUGCUACUACGAGAGGUAGAAAACCAUUUUCAUAAUUCAUAUGAUAAUAACAAAACAACAUUAUUUGACCUCACAAAACCAUAUAUAUCCAACAUGAAUAAAAGUCACUGAACCAUAAAGUAUCUAAGUCAUUUAUUUAUGGGAAGAGGGUAGGGUUAUAACGAAAUCAAUCCAAUGGAGUGUAAUGGACAUCAUCAACGAAUAACUCUGGGCACAUCUAGCUAAUAUUGUCCUCACGUACCGUCCCAACCCUCACCGCCCACAUCACAUGAAAAAUGGUGGAGGGUGAGAACAUAUAAACAUGUCUCCCCCUCCCAGUUGGUAUCGCAAACCGACGAAGGCGAAGAGUACUCACCGAUAUAAGAAGAGAUAACCAAAGUUAUGAGUAGAUAUCACAAAUGCAGUAGUAAUAAUACCGAAAGGAAAAAGAACAGUAAGAGAACAUAUAACUAACCGCCAAUGUAAACUAGAACAGAAUGCAAGUAUGCAUCAAUCGGAUGAUCAGCCCCAAGAAUACCCAAUCCAGAAACCGCCAUAUUGCUCUGAAGACUUCAGGCUAUCCCACUCCCGCUCCAGUAGGGAUGUGACCCGAGCAAAAGGACCGUUGGAGUCUCCCUGGCAUGUAACCUAGCAAGAGGGCCGCUGAGCUCACGGGUCGGAUGUAUGACCACUUUUUCAAAAAAAAAAACACCCUCCUGUGGUGGAUCAGACUGCCGGUGUACGUAAAAUGUAUAUGAGCAGUGGCGAUCGAUGCAAUAUGCUCAAUAGCCCACUAUCGGCAGAUAGCAGAAGUAAAGUCCAAUAAAAGUAACCGACCAACCAGAUCAACCUCUAUCUCAAGGAUAGAACAAUAUCACCGAUUACAAAGUCAACUAACGUUAAAUCAUAUCAUGUAUGAAUACAAGUGUCACCGACUAUGAAGUCAACUAAUGUCAAAUCAUGUCUUGUAUGAAUACAAGUGUCACCGACUGUAAAGUCAACUAAUGUCAAAUAAUGUCCUGUAUGAAUACAAGUGUCACCGACUAUAACAUCAACUAAUGUCAAAUCAUAUUAUGUAUGAAUACGAGUGUCACCGAUAAUGAAGUCAACUAAUGUCAAAUCACAGCAUAUAUGAAUACGAGUGUCACUAACUAUGAAGUCAACUAAUGUCAAAUCAUGUCUUGUAUGAAUACAAGUGUCACCGACUAUAAAACCAACUAAUGUCAAAUCAUGUCCUGUAUAAAUACAAAUGUCACCGACUAUAAAGUCAACUAAUGUCAAAUCACAACAUGUAUGACCCAAUCAUCAGAAAUAUCACUCUACUACUAGAUCAUGACCAUAUGAAAUAGGAAUAACGGUAGAGUGACCAACUACGAAAUCAAGUGAUGUAAGAAUGCUCAAUCAAUAUCAAAUAGCGAAAGAAGAUAAGAAGAAUAGAGAUCACCGAGCAGCCACCACUUUGCCGACUUCGAAUCGAAAUACCCACCUACAUGAAUAUCGCGCCUGUCUCCAACUGUGGAAGAUCGUUAAUUGGACAUACGGAGUGUCCACCGGGUUAGUAUCGAACCCACAUAUAAGGAACACUAAACCCACAAGCCCACACAUGAUCUCACGGGAAACUGAUUAUCAUAACUCACCGGAAGUUCCGAAAAUCGCACCGGAACUCCGCCGGGACCCACGAAGUAUCCCGAAACUCAUCGACUCAUGCCACGAGUCACCCGCUGCCACAAAACACAAUAUUAAAGGUGUCCUAGCAGAAAACAUCAAGUCUCACACCGGAACAAUUAUCGUCGGAUAACUGUUCCAAUCCGGAUUCCCGAAAGUGUCAAUUUCGACACCGGAACCCACCAUCGCUCACCCGUCAUCUCCGAGCUUUUCGAACGACAUAAGUGACCAGCCAACCAGGCUCAGCGACAAAGUAUAGUAUACUCGAACAGCGUCGGGAGGAAUCCGAACCGAAACCGCAUUCCGUCGACCAAUUUCGCCGAAGAACGCACUGGAAAUUGAUAUUCGAUUUCUGCAAAGGCCUCGAAUCUUGGACAAUCAGUCCAGAGAUCACCGGCCACCUACACAUAUUGCCCACAGCAGCCACAAAGUGCACAAUUGCAUAAAAGCCCCUACAAAUACAUAAAAUUACAUUAUUUUCUGUGAUUUACAAGAUUUUACAGCUCGAUACCGCAAACCGAGGGCUUUUGGGGUCAGUCGAGACACGUGCUGACAGGUCUCGACAUGCCAGAGGUCGUGCUCAUUGUUCAAAGCACAGCGGCUCACUUAGAGAGCGGGGGGGCGACCCAAAUUCAGAGAACUACGCACACUGAACUUAAAUCGCUCUUAUUCUACAAACCAGGUGCUCGCUAACCCCAAAGGAGAUGAGCACGAUGAUCAGCAUUGAUCAAGGAUCAUCGUGCUCACUUCUGAAGGCAUCGAGGUGGCAUCGGAUCGCCAGAAUAGUGCAAACAACCCCGAAACAGUGCACAAAUAGCAGUAAAUUAGCUCACCUGCCAGGGAAGAGCUAUUGCACGGCCGGGGGCGGCUCGGCGGCGCGCAACAACCUAAGUCGAGGAGGAGGGGCCUUCUAGGGUUAUGGCUGAGGGAAGUGGGCUCUAGGGUUAGGGUUUUCACCUUGAAAACCCAUCUUUAUAGUAUGCCGACUUCGCGCGUACCUCCCUCCAAUUGCGAUAUUUUUGCUGAGAUCCUGACCGCGUGUCUAUGACAACCUCGUGCAUCAACCCGCUAAAUUUUAUAGAAUUUUGCACAUAAAAUAUAGGGGGUUUCGCGCGAAAUGCGAAAACAUCAAUUCGACCCUUCCUCGGUAAGCGUGCGAUAUCUGGCGAUCCGUCCGUUGGAUUUUCGAAGGUUGUGCCGACACGUUCAGCACGACCGAAACAUCGAACCCACAAUUUUGUUUCAUUCAAUUUGGUCGCCGAUUCGCGGCGAAAGCCAUCCUCCCUCCGAUUCUCCAAAACCACACCUAUAUGUGUAAAUAAAUCAAACAAACCUCAAAUUCAAAUUCAAUUUUGAAUUUCCUAACACUGGUAGGUACCGAACCAUCCUCCACCGUACUCCAGGGCACACGCAAGGAGCACGAGAAGUUUUACAACACAAGAACAGCAAAGAACAAAAACCCUCUUUGUGAUAAAAUUCAAUUUUCUUGAAAAUCGUGCGUCAAAACCAAAAUCCGUUAGUGCCAGUGGGUCCAGGACGGUCAGACCAUUGAAAACGAGCUAUUGGAUCAUUAUAAACGAAAUCCGAUACUCACCAAAAGCCAUCACUACCUAUUGGUCUCUUCGGAAAGUAUAACUUAAAAUAAUUGCCACUAAAGUACAAUUAGGUAUUAGGUAAUGGUGGCCAUUCAAUAAUUGCCGCUAAUAAAUUGCCACUAAAACUCAAUUUUGUUGUAGUGCUAAGCCAAAAGACACAACCUUACAAAAGGACAUACUCUUUCAUAUGAUACACAAGUUUUCAACAAAACAAAUAAAAUUAAACAAAUAAACAAAUAAACAAACUUAUAAACUAACAAUAUCAAUACCCAGUACAGUCGUACAACCCUCGGCUACCGCAAACCAUAGUAUGUCUCAAAUCCGAUGCUACCCUAAUAUCCAGCACAUCACUCUGCCUAAUCCCGGGCACAAAGACACAAAGUUUGCUACUGACAAUAAGAAUUCAUAAUCCAAUUCAUUGAGUCGAGUGGUAGUGUGCAUGGUGGAAUCUCAGUUUAAUUGAAUGUAUGGAAUAAGCCACAUAGAUGCUAGUAACGAAGAUGCUUAAGUUUAAUUAGAGUAGUUCCAUAUUCAGCAAAUAAGCAUGCUUCAACAUAAAUUAUACUAAGAACAUGUUGGUGAUAUACUCAAUAGGCAUACUAGCUAAUUCGGAUCUUUUGAUGAAUUCAAACCCACGGCUACCUCAACCCACAAGGGUCUAUAAUCCCAUGCUACCUAAACCCUCGGCAAAAAAUAAAAUCCACGUACGUUACCUAUCACAUGCACUCUGCUAACACUAGGUACAAGGAAGCACCAAUCUGAUGUAAGUGUGCUAACUACAAGGUUCAGUUUGCUAACAUGUACAGAUUGUGUAAUAGGAGGGAUCAAAGUUUAAUAGGUAAGAUUUUAUAAAUUUAUUUUUUAUAUAUAUAUCUAAUUUAAUCCAUUUAAUUUAUUGCUCGUUGACCAGUUCAUGAGCUAGCUCGUGUUCGGCUUGGAACACGAGUUGAAUUUUUCCGCUCGAUACUUUAACAAGCCAACUCAUGGCCCUAGCUCGCUCGUGUUUGGCUCGUUGACACCCCUACCCUUAUUAAUAUAAUUCCAAUCCCAUACGUACUAACAAUAUCAUUCAUUCAACUUUUAUAGGUAUAAAUCACAGCCGUAUAAUUUUUAUUUUAUUUUCAAAUUAUCAAAAAACGUAUUAAUUCUUAGUCAUUGGAUCUAAUCCAAUGGCCGACGAAUUAAAUAUCUAUGAUUUUCUUUAACUAAAUUAUGCUUAGGCAGUAGUAUCAAAUCCGACCUUUUAUGUACAUACCCUAUCUUCUUACAUAAUAUCCAUAUUAUAUUUUAUCUAAUAAUAAUUAUUUUUACACUUCAUACUUUUCUAUACUAUAUAUAAAAGCAGAUAAAAGUUCUUAUAAUGACAUACAGAAUUAAAAAAAAAAUGAAUAAAUAAAAUUUCAUGUCAAUGGUUAUGAUUAAUUUGUUAAAAAAAUAUCUCAAAUAAAAAUAAUAGUUAUAAUCAAUCUAUUAAAAAAUAACAUUCUUAUCUAUUAAUAUAUCAAAUCCUAGGAAUUAGUGAUUAUGAUUAAUUUAUUAAAAAAUAUUUCAAAUAAAAGAAAACGGUUAUGAUCAAUCUGGCCUAUCCGUAGAUUUUACAUUAAAAUUUAAAUUUAAAUUUAAAUCAUGAAUUGAAUUUAAUUUUGGAUAUCAAAUUUGAAUUAACCAUUAAAACUUUUAAUUAUAAUUGAUCAAAAUUAAAUUUUAACAAAUUAAAAUCCAUAAAUUAAUUUUGGAUAUCAAAUUUGAAUUAACAAUUAAUAUAUUUAAUUACGGUGAAUCAAAAUUAAAUUUAAAUUUUCAAAGUAAAUGUGAAUUAAAUUUUGACGCAUUUAGUUUAAACAAUAUACUUAAAUUUUAAAUUUAUUAGAAUUCAAAAAAAUAAAAAAAUAAUAUAAGAUAUUGCAGAUAUUUUCUAAUAAACUAUAACAUAUAAAUUUAUAAAAUAUAAUUUUUAUUGUAAAUUUUAAUUGUAAUUUUUGUUGUAUAUUUUAAACUUUUAUAGUAUAUAUCCACUAUCUCUCAAUUAAUGUUUGAAAAAUAAAUUAUGAAAAAAUAACCCUAUCAAAUCAAUUUUAAAUCUUAAGUUUGCUUCAAAAUUUCAAACGUGAAUCCAUAUUUUAAUUCAAAAUUUAAAAUUAAUUUAAAUUUUUAAUAUUUUGCUCUAUAAACAGACGGUUUCAAAAUAAAAAUAAUUAAUUAUAAAUCUAUAUUUCCAAUAACUAUUUAUAUUCAAAUUAUGGAUUCAAAAUUAGUUUUAAAUUUUGAAUUUUGUUCAAAAAUUUAAAUAUGAAUUUGUUAACUCAAAAUGUAGAAUUAAUUCAAAUUUUUAAAAUUUGUAUACGGAGUAAAAAAUUGUAUAUUAUAAAAAUAUAUAUAAAAAAUAUUUACAGUGUAACUAAAAAAUAUAUAUAUAAAAUUUAUCCGAACUUAAAUUAAAGUUAAAAAAAUUCUAUAAAUAAACUCUUACCAUCAAUAACUAUUUAAAUUUAAAAUAUAAAUAUAAAUUUUAUUUAAUUUAUUGUGAUUUGCAUGGCACGUGUAACUAGUAUAAAUAAAUCAGCGUACCAGAAUGAUUGGUCCGCUGUUUUACCAACGUCCACCCCAAACUAAUUAAACCACUAAUUUAAUUUACCACACCUCCGUUUCAAGAAUCAAGAGUACGUGCGUAGAUACGAGAUGAGUUCGUCGAGCUACAGGGCUAUGGCCGAGAAGGUGAAGGCGAGGGCCGAAGACAAGUUCCGGAGCAACGACGUGCGCGGGGCGAGGGUGCAGGCCCUCAAGGCGCAGUCGCUCUUCCCCGCCCUGCCCGGCCUCGCGCAGGCCCUUACGGCAUACAACGUCCACCUUGCCGCCGCCACCAGGAAGCUCCCGUCCGGCGGGACCGACUGGCACGCCGUCCUCGACGUCCCGCCAACCGCCGGCACGGACGCGAUCAAAAAGAAGUUCAAGCGGCUGUGCCUCCUCACCCACCCGGACAAGAAUCCCUCCGCGGCCGCCGACGGCGCCUUCAAGCUCGUCGUCCGCGCCUGGGACGCCAUCUCCUCCUCCUCCUCCUCUUCAGCUGCAUCCGCCGCCGCCUCCUGCGAAUCCCAGUCGUCCGGGUUCGAAUCGCGCCGCCGCAGUACUCGCUCCGACUCGGGGUCGGGAUUCGCCGACAGCGCAAGAAAACCAUCGACCGGCGGGUCCUCCUCCUCCUCCAACAGUAAUGCUAACUCCGGCUCAGGACCGCAGCCCGGCCGAUCGGCGGCGUCACAAGAAUCUUUCGACGGCAGCUGCGGCGCCACGCAUGUCGUGCCCUACUGCUUGCACUGCGGCGCAAACUCCGGCCUCCGCUUCACGUUCGAAAGAAGCGGUUUCUUGGACGUCCGAAUCAUCUGCCCCAGUUGCAAGAAGAUGUACCGCUGCCAUAUGGAAAUAAGGUUGUCGUCAUAGCGGGAUUGCUAGAGAAGCGGCAUGCCAGUGUAAAGUAAAUUAACAGAGAUUGAUCAAAGCUCUUGCCAUUAUUAUGAUAAUAAUGUAUCUUUAUUUACUUUCCUGCAUGAGUGGCCGCGAUGCUUGAUGUAUUAAUUCUGCAUGCUUCUCUUAUUCAUGAAAUAAAAAGAGAUGACGCAGCUCUUUCAAGAUGAUUUCUUUUAUUGUUGCUAGUGUGGCUCCGCUUUAGUUUCAAUUCACUUGUUUUUUCAAUUGCUGAAUUGAUUACGUAUAUAUGUUAGUGGAGUAGAUUGAUAGCUCCCUGAUCUGCCACCUUGGCUCGUCUGAGGAAAUGAGGAAAUCUCGGCCUCGAGAAUUGAAGUUAGGGCCCCUAUCUCGACCCCUGCGUCGGUUGCUUCCGCGGCCUCUUGGGACACAAAAGCCACAAACACAUCAAGAGUUGGGCUUGAGUGUCGAUUGACUCGUAUAGCUUUGACGUUGGGGAACCACCUCGACAUAUAGUGAAAUGGGAAGUCUAAACAUAGUUGUCUUGAACAGCUUACAGAUCUCAUCGAGCCUUUCUAAUAACCUAAAAAUUUUGGUGGAAUCCGAAAAAUUUUUGCCAAUAGUAUGCAAUUAGUUACAAAUUGACUUAAAAUUAUGAAGAUAUAUAAAUAGAUAAAGGAUGAUUUGCUUUCUUGAUGUAUUGCAGCUACGCGAGUAGGUCGAGCUCUAGGGCGACCGAGCUCUACUUGAAGUGAUUGGGUAAGGCUGUCCACACUUCGGCUAUAGUUUGAAGACCGACAGCACGGCCGAGAGCCUCUUUGGAAAGAGUGCCCAUGAUCCAUGAUUUUAUAAGGCAAUCGGUCCAUACCGAAGAUGCAUAGUCUGGUUGUUGACAUUGCCUCCACAAUAGCAUCCAUCCAUGAAUUUGAUACCCGGGCUGGUUGAUAUUUUGCUAGCGAUGAGCUCAAAAUAUUUUCAAAACUAAAUUUUAAAUUUUUUUUUAAAUUGUUAAUAUUUUUUUUAUUUUAUUUUUAUAUAUUCUUUAAAAUUUUGUACAUCUCUGAAAGGUAAAAUGUAAAAAUUUUCGUUCCAACAUGCACCGAUUGUGCUACUAGUUUUGUAUCUUACUAUAUAUUCUUCUUCGGUGAAUAUUUUUAUAUAGAAAAUACAAAAGUAAUUUUAGCAAACAGUUGGAAAGAAAAAAAAAUAAUAAUGAAUUUUAGAAUAUUGUAAAAAAAAUUUAAAAGAAGAAUAAUAGAAAAUAAGAAAAUAAGCAAAAGAAAAAGAAGGGAGAAGAAUUAAACCAUGAAGAAGAGAAGAAAUUUCCCCCGCAAACAUACAUGGUAUAGAAAAAAUGAAAAAAUAUUACAUACUGAUAGUCAAACUUUUGAAAACCAAAUUUUAUUUCAACUGUACUCUCUCUCAAUUUACAUAGUUUAAUUUCUUAUUCGUGGAGACAUAUAUAAUUUCAAAUACUAUUAAGAGAUCUAUCUCCCACAGAUUUUAUCUUUUGAAAAUUUUAAUCCCUUACCAAGCGUCCUUAGAGCAAGUGGCAAAAGACUUGGUGGUUAGUAGUUGAUUCACAUUUUCAGCUAAGUUUAUUUCUAAAUGAAAUAAACGAAACGGAUAGCGUGUAUACCUAUCUCUCUCUCAAAAAAAAAAAAAAAAAAAAAAAAAUCCCUUCUCUGAAAGAUAUUUAUUAAAGACUUCUAGAUAUAUGCAUGAAACAAAAAUUUCUUCUUAGUAAAUCUUACUAGCUUACAACAAACUGGAGUACUUAAUCAAAAUAGCUCAGUUGCCUCAAAGUAAAGUCUAAAUAUAUAAAAUCAACUAAAUCAAAAUAAAGAAAACUUGAUCUAAACCUAAUGAAAAUCCCAUUUUGUAUUGAAGAUGCUGCUGCACUGAAGUUCAACUGCAUAGGAGACGUUCAAGGUUCGGCACGUUUACAUUCUGAUGCUAUAGCUGGGCAACACAAUUAAUGAGGUUCAAUUUCCCAGAUAGAACUACAUCAAAAUUGCUGGAAAUUUCAGUUACAUUUUUUUAUGCAUCAAAAGAGACUAGUUGAUGUGGAACAUGUUCAAGCCAAGUAAGAUGAAUGCUUUGUAAUUGCUACACUACUUUUGCAUGUAUUAUUCAAUUACAAAAUUUUUACCACUUUAUAUGUCAAAUAGAACAACCAAAAGUUUUACGUUCUAUAAUUUUCUAGAAAAAAUGGCUUUCAUAUAGACAUUUACCAAUAAAUUAAAGUUUGAAAUCUUUAUCUUGAUUCCUUAUCCUUUCGUCGUUCUUGUUCUUCGUUUAACUACUGAUAUUGAUUCUCUUCCAACAUUAAAUCAAUAUACGAUUUACGAUUUUUAAUAUUUUAUACAAAUUUAGUUAAUAGGCAUUUAAUUCAAGCUGCCGACUACCUAAUAAAUUUUCUAGUGUGCAGUUAUUAUGCUUUUGGAAAUAUAUACAUCAAUUUUUUAGCUUUUGAAUUUCAAUAAGGUUUACUGAAUGAUGAUAAUACUAUGGACCUAAUUUGAGGACUUAGAAGUUGAAAGUUGCCGUUUCUUAAAAGCUCCAUAGCUUAACACAAAAUUAUAUUGCGAGAGGAACGCCUAGUCAUUAUCUCCUCCAAUUAAGGUGGUAAGGAAGGGAGGUUUUAAUGCCACCUGUAGUAUCAAAAUCAUUGAAGAAUUGGGAUGACUAUAGUAUAUAUGUGUUGUUGGGAUGACUAUGCGCCGUGACACAGCUGGUCUUCUGUAGCCUAAUGUUCUAUCUUUUGUUCCAUCUCAAAUAGGAUACACUCCUAUUUAAUCGAAAAAAAAAAAAUCGUUUUAGAAUUGUCAUUCGAUUAUAAUUAUCAGUUAAAGCCUUGUCCAACGUAAACAUUAUCUUUGGACAAAUAAAAACAGAUCAAAACUGCAACUCCUCAUGCACACUGACUGCAUGCGCUACUCGACAAUAAAGAAAACAGAAAACAAUAUCAAUUAAUGAAUUGAAACUAAAGCGGAGCCACACUAGCAACAAUAAAAGAAAUCAUCUUGAAAGAGCUGCGUCAUCUCUUUUUAUUUCAUGAAUAAGAGAAGCAUGCAGAAUUAAUACAUCAAGCAUCGCGGCCACUCAGGCAGGAAAGUAAAUAAAGAUACAUUAUUAUAAUAAUAAUGGCAAGAGCUUCGAUCAAUCUCUGUUAAUUUACUUUACACUUGCAUGCCGCUUCUCUAGCUAGCAAUCCAGCUACGACGACGACAACCUUAUUCCCAUAUGGCAGCGGUACAUCUUCUUGCAACUGGGGCAGAUGAUUCGGACGUCCAAGAAACCGCUUCUUUCGAACGUGAAGCGGAGGCCGGAGUUUGCGCCGCAGUGCAAGCAGUAGGGCACGACAUGCGUGGCACCGCAGCUGCCGUCGAAAGAUUCUUGUGACGCCGCCGAUCGGCCGGGCUGCGGUCCUGAGCCGGAGUUAGCAUUACUGUUGGAGGAGGAGGAGGACCCGCCGGUCGAUGGUUUUCUUGCGCCGUCGGCGAAUCCCGACCCCGAGUCGGAGCGAGUACUGCGGCGGCGCGAUUCGAACCCGGACGACUGGGAUUCGCAGGAGGCGGCCGCGGAUGCAGCUGAAGAGGAGGAGGAGGAGGAGAUGGCGUCCCAGGCGCGGAUGACGAGCUUGAAGGCGCCGUCGGCGGCCACGGAGGGAUUCUUGUCCGGGUGGGUGAGGAGGCACAGCCGCUUGAACUUCUUCUUGAUCGCGUCCGUGCCGGCGGUUGGCGGGACGUCGAGGACGGCGUGCCAGUCGGUCCCGCCGGACGGGAGCUUCCUGGUGGCGGCGGCAAGGUGGACGUUGUAUGCCGUAAGGGCCUGCGCGAGGCCGGGCAGGGCGGGGAAGAGCGACUGCGCCUUGAGGGCCUGCACCCUCGCCCCGCGCACGUCGUUGCUCCGGAACUUGUCUUCGGCCCUCGCCUUCGCCUUCUCGGCCAUGGCCCUGUAGCUCGACGAACUCAUCUCGUAUCUACGCACGCACUCUUGAUUCUUGAAACGCGCGGAGGUGUGGUAAAUUAAAUUGGUGGUUUAAUUUGUUUGGGGUGGACGUUGGUAAAACAGCGCACGAAUCAUUCUGGUACGCUGAUUUAUUUAUAUGUAUAUAUUUAAGAAGCCGCUCGAUGAGACCGAAAUAUAAUAUACAGUAAAUUAUUUUAAUUAUUAGUAUCAAUUUUUUUUUAAUACAUUAAUAUUUUUAAAUUUAAUAAUUAAAAAUUAAAGAAUAAAUUAAAAAAUAAAAUUAAAGUGGAUUUUUUUCUAAAAACAUUUUAACCUAAUAAGUAAUAUGAUAAAUUAGUUAAAUUUAAAACAAAGGCUCAUUACAAUAUUAAAAAAGAUGAAUAAUAUUUUUCUAUUAUCCUCAAGGUAAAAUUUAUGAAUAAAAAAAUAUUAAGAAAUUAAUUUGAGUGAAAGUACUAUCUUUCGUAUUUUUGGCGCCAACAUUUUUAUUAUGCAGUCAUUAAUUUUUAUCGUCGCACAUACAACUAAUAAAUUAUUUGCUACCUAAGUUUUAAAUUAGUGAAGAAAUUUUUAGAACAAAUACCGCAACGAAAUCUGAUUGUGAUUUAAAUCUAACUAAAUUUUAUUAUAAAUACAACUUACAGAUAAUUGCUAUAUCCAAAUAAAUAUUUAAUUGAUCCGGAAGCGUGCGAGGCACUGCCCUAAGGCGUAUUUCCGUCCUUAUGUGCGGGAUUAACCGGGAACAACACCCCAAGGUACGACCGGAAUUUCUCCUCCUGCGAGCACGAUCGUGAAGAAGGUUGACGAAGACUCUUUCAACACCCGAUGACAAAAAGAUCAAAGCCAAAUAGAUAAAAAUAAUAGAUAGAAAAAUAUAUGUCCUCCAAUGUUUCUCUUUGCAAUGUUUUAUGUCAUGAACAGUAGAAAGAGUACUAUAUAAAAGGGUGUGAAUAGAACAUUGGAUACCCUAACAUUCUACUCCAAUAAUUAAUUCCAUUUAAUUCAUGCUUUAAUGUGAAAUAAAGGAGGAAUAAAUUAAAUUUAAUCCAUCCAAUUAAUUAACAUAAUAAAAGACAAUAAAUGAGAAUAAUUAUAAAACUAAAUGAGAUUUGGAGAUUUUGGAUUUUACACCAACAAUUCCCCACAAAAUUCAAAAUCACAAAAUCAAAAUUAAACAAAUAAAUAAAUGAAUCAUCGGGUAUUUAUACUAUGCAAUAGGCGAGGUGUCUUUAAAAGACUUAACCCCACUUAGUGUAAAUAGUUUCCAUCAGAAGGAAUCGGAGUGAAUCAGGUCUUGAACUACGUUCCUUUGGCCCUGACUUCUACUACCACACACACAGUACAGAAUUCUCCGUCGCGGGUCUGUGCGUUAAUGGCCAUGCACAGUACCUUGAUUUUUCAUAAGAGUUUCUAUGUAUAGCCCAUUCACAUAGCCGCGGCCACAUACGGAUACUCUUAUAUAGGUGGUUCCCUCUUGGGAUGUUGAUAUAGAGUCCAUCUCGCGAAAAUCAUCACCUUGAGAUCCCAUUAAAAAGCUCUACAGUCAAUCUAUACACUUAACAGAGCACUCUCACCAUAGGCGAUGGGAUUGGAGCUAAAGACUCCUAUUAUAAAAUUUAUAGAAGUGCUCUUGGCCAACCCUGACAGCUUCGUUAUUUAACACAUGAACUUUAUCAAGGAUCUCUAUCACAAGUUGGCGGUUCCACUGGCAGGAAGGCCUUUACCGGGCAGAGUCCCUCCCCUCGUUGACCCAGGACCUUAGUCCUAUAUUCAGGGCCGUUCGUAAAAUAAUCUGCAAAUUUGUUUCAGAUUGAUAACAAAAUCAAAUAAAGUAAUAUUAAUGAAAAUAACCAUCUAUAAAAUUUAUGUCUCAAAAAAAUAUUUACCUGCCAAUUUUAGAAUUGCAAAAUUCGUUUUCCAAGUGAACACUAUGGAUAAAUCACUGAGGAGAGCCAUUAUAUAUCAAAAUUAUCAAACUGAUAAAGAGUAAUCCCCACAAGUUUUGCCGAUAUAUCAAAUUAAAUCAUGAGGUUAAUCAUGUUAAUGGGUUUGGGGUUCAACAGGCAAAUAGAUGGCCUAAUAAUUUUUUAAAUUUAUCUCAAUUAGAUCUUUUCAUUACAAAUAUAAUGAAACAAUAUCGAUCAACAAAAGAUGAUUACGAUAAAGUAGCCCGUUGCUGUUGGUUAGCACGACUUUGUUCAAGACUGUGCUUUAAACAUAACUGUUGGGUUUUCAAAUCCAAUAUUGAAACAUAACAGAUGUGACAGUUAGGGGAUAAAUCAAGCUUUAAAGAAAUCUACCUUUUUUUUUUUUUUUUAAGUCAAAACAUAGUAUAAUGUAUUUGCCACUAAAAAAAAACUUUCUUUACAUGUAGUAUUUUUUUUCAAUCGUAGAACCGUCUAUAAACAAAUACUGUAGCAUUAUAUAUCAUUUUUACCAAAGAAUUUAUGUAGCAAAACUCUAAAGAUCAGCUAAUAUAAUUAUUUUUUACUUUAUCAAUUUUUUUUUUUUAAAUAUCACCAUAAUAAAUUAUAAAUCUUAACAGUUAAAUUAAAUAAUUAUACAAUACAUGUUCAAGUGCUAAUCUCCAGGAAAAUUUAUGUUUGAUUGCCAUUCAUAGAAACUUACAAACAAAAUUAUAUAAUUAUAAAUUAACUAAUUAUAAUACGGACAUUAGCAGCCGUUAGAUUUCAGAUGCACAAUCAAAAGUCGAGAUCAGCCUUAGAUUGUCUAGAAACAAUACCGACGAAUUUGAUUGUGUAUUUAAAUCUAACUAAAUUUUAUUUAAAUACAACUGUUACAGAUAAUUGGCUUUAUCCAAAUAAAUACUUAUUGAUCUGAAGUAGUGCGGAGCACUAGCCUAGAGGCGUAUUUCCUGUCCUUACGUGCUGGGGAUUAACCGGGAACACACCCAACGGGUACGACGGAAUCAUACCUCUGCGAUGCACGAUGUGAAGAAGGUUGACGAAGACUCUUUCAACACCCGAUGACAAAAAGAUCAAAGCCAAAUAGAUAAAAAUAAUAGAUAGAAAAAUAUAUGUCCUCCAAUGUUUCUCUUUGCAAUGUUUUAUGUCAUGAACAGUAGAAAGAGUACUAUAUAAAAGGGUGUGAAUAGAACAUUGGAUACCCCAACAUUCUACUCCAAUAAUUAAUUCCAUUUAAUUCAUGCUUUAAUAUGAAAUAAAGGAGGAAUAAAUUAAAUUUAAUCCAUCCAAUUAAUUAACAUAAUAAAAGACAAUAAAUGAGAAUAAUUAUAAAACUAAAUGAGAUUUGGAGAUUUUGGAUUUUACACCAACAGAAAUCAGAAGCACAAAAAAUAAGACUAAUCAAAAGACAUUCGAAAUCAAAAUAAAUAUUUUUUAUACUGUAAAAAAAUUCAACUACCAAAUAACUAAUCUAAUAAUAUUCUUAUAUUAUUAUAUAAACUAAUUCUUAAAAAUAUUAAUGUGUGGGGCCGACAACCCUCCAAAAUAAGGAGAGGCUUUAGAGUUACCAAUUCAUACAUAUUUUGGGGACUAAAGUAAAAAACAUACAAAGAAAAAAUUAUUAAAUAGACGAUGGUAUGAUAAUUUCGAUAAUUUUAAAAUAUUUUUUAACGGUUUUUCUUUUCCACCUAAGUUUAAAUACUAGGGCUGAGACACUCUGCCAUUUCGUAUGCUCCUUCCAUCUUUCUACUGGCUUGGAUACCCAGCGAUUUGGUGGAGAGAUAUGACAUAUUCCAAAUUAUUUUUUUUAUAAUUACAGUUAAUUUAUUUGGUUUUAUAUAGUUAGGAUUUAUAUUUAAAAAUUUUAUUACUUUUUCAUAUAUGUAGUGAAAAUGUUACCUUCAAUACGGAAGAAAAAAUAUUUUUUUUUAUUUGGAAGGUAAUUAGGUAAGUAGACAUUAAUUUCUCUUAGAUACUAAAAUUAUAUUCUUCAACUACUGUAGUUGAAGCUAUGCCCAGGUUGGGCGUAGUUUCAUCGCCUGCCUUUGAGUCUCCUUCAACAAUUUUAGUUAUAGCAAUUGGAUUCUACUACAUCAACCAAAAUAAUUUAAUUGGCUCUACAUGUAGUAGUUAAAUUGAUAGGACAAAUACUAGUGUAUCCUUUAAAAGGUUAUAAAUAACUGACAUAUCUUUUUAAAUUUUAUAAAAGUUUAUAAAUAAUUGAUAUAUCCCUUUAACUUUUAAAAUAAUUUUAUAUCUUAUUCUGAAUUUUUAAUACGUUACAAAAAUAUCCUAUGUUGACUUUCCAUCAGUCAUUCGUUAAAAUUCUCUUUUCGUGAUCAACGGGAAUCACACUUUGAAAAGUAAAAAUUAUGUCAGAUCUAUAACCCACUUUGAGUUGUAAUCCUACAACAACCCCAAAUCAAUGGUUAACUUUUCUUCAUUUGUCUCAUCACUUUUUUUUGUAUUUAUAAAAACUAAAGGGGUUAGUGAAUCCUUUUUCUUUAUUUACUAAAAACUAAAGGGGCUAGUGAAUCCUUAAUUAACAUCCUUGGAUAAGGGGUUGUAGUGAUAUUGUCACGCCCCGGGGUCUCUUUUUAGUUGUAAGUCAGCGAAAAAAUAUCCAAACUUUUUUUUUUGAAAACUUUGACUCAAAGAAUGACAGAGCCGCCACAAAUAUAGAAAACUCACUAACCUCAUGGACAGAGCCUCCCCUAUAUUUGUACGGCAUCGCACGAGUACAAGUACAACCACAAUCAUUCACAACAUAGCGUAUAUUUACAUUUUCAUAAGAAAACCUUUUAAAAAUCGUUUCCCACUUAGAAACCUUUUCUAUAAAGUGCUACUACGAGAGGUAGAAAACCAUUUUCAUAAUUCAUAUGAUAAUAACAAAACAACAUUAUUUGACCUCACAAAACCAUAUAUAUCCAACAUGAAUAAAAGUCACUAAACCAUAAACACUACAACAGAAUUAGGUUAUAGGGACACAUGUUUGGGACACUUUUGAGUAAAUGUCCCAUUUAUGCUAAAAUUUAAAAAAACAUCUACUAAUGCCUAAAAAUAAAGCCCAAUCCAACCAAAAAUAAAAGAUUACUCUACUCAACCCACCACACCCAGUCCAUUUGGCCCGAUUACAAACAGAAAAGAAAAAAAAAAGAAAAAUCAAUUACCAUCUUUUCUUCUCUCUUCACUCAAUCUACUGAAAUUCUAGACGAAGAGUCUUUCCUGUCGUCCUCCUCCGCCACCGCAGCCAACGAGAUAGAAUUUCGACGGUUGAUAAAUGCUUAAAUAAGUUUUAGUAAAUUAGCAGCACUCUUUUAGGUUAUAGCGACACUCUUUAACUGUCACUAUAUACCUAGCGACCCCACAUAUAGCAACACUUUUUAAAAGUGCCGGUAAUUUUAGCUAGCAGCACUUUUUUGACAUGUACCUAUAUUUAAAAGUGUCGCUAUAGACCGUUUUUGUUGUAGUGAAAGUAUCUAAGUCAUUUAUUUAUAGGAAGAGGGUAGGGUUAUAACGAAAUCAAUCCAAUGGAAAGUAAUGGACAUCAUCAACGAAUAACUCUGGGCACAUCUAGCUAAUAUUGUCCUCACGCACCGUCCCAACACUCACCGCCCACAUCACAUGAAAAAUGGUAGGGGGUGAGAACAUAUAAACAUGUCUUCCCCUCCCAGUUGGUACCGCAAGCCGACGAAGGCGAAGAGUACUCACCGGUAUAAGAAGAAAUAACCAAAGUCAUGAGUAGAUAUCACAAAUGCAGUAGUAAUAACACUGGAAGAAAAAAGAACAAUAAGAGAACAUAUAACUAGCCGCUACUGUAAACUAAAACAGAAUCAAUCGGAUGAUCAGUCCCAAGAAUACCCAAUCCAGAAACGGCCAUAUUGCUUUGAAGACCUCAGGCUAUCCCACUCCCGCUCCAGUAGGGAUGUGACCCGAGCAAAAGGACCGUUGGAGUCUCCCUGGCAUGUAACCUAGCAAGAGGGCUGCUGAGCUCACGGGUCGGAUGUACGACCACUUUUUCAAAAAAAAACACCCUCCUGUGGUGGAUCAGACCAUCGGUGUACGUAAAAUGUAUAUGAGCAGUGGCGAUCGAUGCAAUAUGCUCAAUAGUCCACUGUCGGCAGAUAGCAGAAGUAAAAUCCAAUAAAAGUAACCGACCAACCAGAUCAACCUCUAUCUCAAGGAUAGAACAAUAUCACCGAUUACAAAGUCAACUAACGUCAAAUCAUAUCAUGUAUGAAUACAAGUGUCACCGACUAUGAAGUCAACUAAUGUCAAAUCAUGUCCUGUAUCAAUACAAGUGUCACUGGCUGUAAAGUCAACUAAUGUCAAAUAAUGUCCUGUAUGAAUACAAAUGUCACCGACUAUAACGUCAACUAAUGUCAAAUCAUAUUAUGUAUGAAUACGAGUGUCACCGACAAUGAAGUCAACUAAUGUCAAAUCACAGCAUAUAUGAAUACGAGUGUCACUGACUGUGAAGUCAACUAAUGUCAAAUCAUGUCCUGUAUGAAUACAAGUAUCACCGACUAUAAAGCCAACUAAUAUCAAAUCAUAUCCUGCAUGAAUACAAAUGUUACCGACUAUAAAGUCAACUAAUGUCAAAUCACAACAUGUAUGACCCAAUCAUCAGAAAUAUCACUCUACUACUAGAUCAUGACCAUAUGAAAUAGGAAUAACGGUAGAGUGACCAACUACGAAAUCAAGUGAUGUAAGAAUGCUCAAUCAAUAUCAAAUAACAAAAGAAGAUAAUAAGAAUAGAGAUCACCGAGCAGCCACCACUUUACCGACUUCGGAUCAAAAUACCCACCUAUAUGAAUAUCACGCCUGUCUUCGACUGUGGAAGAUCGUUAACUAGACCUACGAAGGGUCUACUGGGUUAGUAUCGAACCCACAUAUAAGGAACACUAAACCCACAAGCCGACACAUGAUCCCACGGGAAACCGAUUACCAUAACUAAUCGAAAGUCCCGAAAAUCGCACCUGGACUCUACCGGGACCCACGAAGUGUCCCGAAACUCAUCGACUCGUGCCACGAGUCACCCGCUGCCACAAAACACAAUAUUAAAGGUGUCCUAGCAGAAAACAUCAAGUCUCACACCGAAAUAAUUAUCGUCGGAUAACCGUUCCAAUCCGGGUUCCCGAAAGUGUCAAUUUCGACACCGGAACCCAUCAUCGUUGACCCGUUGUCUUCGCGCUUUUUGAAUGACAUAAGUGACCAGCCAACCAGGCUCAGCGACAAAGUAUAGUAUACUUGAACAUCGUCGGGAGGAAUCCGAACCGAAACCGCGCUCCGUCGGCCAAUUUCGUCGAAGAACGCACUGGAAAUUGAUAUUCGAUUUCUGCAAAGGCCUCGGAUCUUGGACAAUCAGUCCAGAGAUCACCAGCCAUCUACACAUACUGCCCACAGCAGCCACAAAGUGCACAAUUGCAUAAAAGCCCCUACAAAUACAUAAAAUCACAUUAUUUUUUGUGAUUUACAAGGUUUUACAGCUCGAUUCCGCAAACUGAGGGCUUUUGGGGUCAGUCGAGACACGUGCUGACAGGUCUUGACAUGCCAGAGGUCGUGCUCAUGGUUCGGAGCACAGCAGCUCACUUGGAGGGCGCGGGGGCGACCCAAAAUUCAGAGAACUACGCACACUGAACUUAAAUCACGCUUAUUCCACAAACCAGGGACUCGCUAACCCCAAAGGAGAUGAGCACGAUGAUCAGCAUUGAUCAAGGAUCAUCGUGCUCACUUCCGAAGGUAUCGAGGUGGCCUCGGAUCGCCGGAACAGUGCAAACAACCCCGAAACAAUGCACAAAUAGCAGUAAAUUAGCUUACCGGCCAGGGGAGAGCUAGGGCACGGCCGGCGGCGGCUCGGCGGCGCGCAACAACCUCAGUCGAGGAGAAAGGGCCUUCUAGGGUUAUGGCUGAGGGAAGUGGGCUCUAGGGUUAGGGUUUCCACCUUGAAAACCUAUCUUUAUAUUAUACCGACUUCGUGUGUACCUCCCUCCAAUUGUGAUAUUUUUGCUGAGGUCCUGACGGCGUGUCUAUGACAACCUCGUGCAUCAGCCCGCUAAAUUUCAUAGAAUUCUGCACAUAAAAUAUAGGGGGUUUCGUGCGAAAUGCGAAAACAUCAAUUCGACCCUUCCUCGGUAAGGGUGCGAUAUCUAGCGAUCUGUCCGUUGGAUUUCCGAACGGGUUGUGCCGACACGUUCAGCACGACCGAGACAUCGAACCCACAAUUUUGUUUCAUUCAAUUUGGUGGCCGAUUCGCGGCGAAAGCCAUCCUCUCUCUGAUUCUCCAAAACCACACCUAUAUGUGUAAAUAAAUCAAACAAACCUCAAAUUCAAAUUCAAAUUUGAAUUUCCUACCACUGGUAGGUACCCGAACCAUCCUCCACCCUACUCCAGGACACACGCACGGAGCACAAGAAGUUUUACAACACAAGAAUAGCAAAGAACAACAACCCUCUUUGUGAUAAAAUCCAAUUUUCUUGAAAAUCGUGUGUCAAAACCAAAAUCCGUUAGUGCCAAUGGGUCCAAGAUGAUCGGACCAUUAAAAACGAGCUAUUGGAUCAUUAUAAAUGGAAUCCGAUACUCACCAAAAGCCAUCACUAUCUAUUGGUCUCUCCGGAAAGUAUAGCUUAAAAUAAUUGCCGCUAAAGUACAAUUUGGUAUUAGGUAAUGGUAGCCAUUCAAUAAUUGCCGCUAAUAAAUUGCCACUAAAACUCAAUUUUGUUGUAGUGAAUUAUAAUCUCAUUAUAAUUAAUUGAUCCUUCAUUUGUCUUAGAUGCUUCACCACUUGCUCCAUUGACUCAAUUAGCUGCAUGGACCCCUACCUUUCCCAGUUAAUAUCUUCCCAACUAUACUCAUUGAUUUUCUCUUCUCCUAAGUGAUACCCUUCCUCCCCUGGCAAGACUAUUGAUUUUUCCUCUACUUAUUGGUUCUCUUCCACCCCUCCCAAGUGGUUGUUAAUUUCCUUUCCCCACUCCAUAGUUGUUUGGUUCACUGGCGGCCUCCCUCCUUGAUUCACUAUUGGUCUCCAUCCAUGAUUCACUGGUAGUCUCUCUCCACUGUUACUACUCGUUCCCUCACCACAUAUUUUCUCAAUCUCUAAAUGCAAUAUUAGUGCAAGAUUGAGUAUUGUGUCCAAACUCUUCACACUUAUUACAUCUAUACUUUUUUACCUCCUCUGUUAAUUUUACUUUUUUGGGGCUAAUCAACUGCCCUCUUUCUUACUUUUUUAGGUCUAAUUAGUUGUUUUCUAUAUGGAAGUGACAUUAUAAGUUCAAUUCCAAUCUUAUGCCACAUUGAAUAAUGAGGUAUAGGCAUGAUCAUGUGGCUAUAUGCUCUAAUAUGAGUCUCGUUUUAGAAAAUAAUUAUGAACAAACACCUCGGGAUCUAUCUUUUGUUUGUAUAUAGCAGAGAGAACAUGUUUACAUAGAAUCCUAGUCACAUCCCAUUGUCUGUAUUCACAAGUUGAUACUGCUAAGUUAACAAUAUACUACCUUCCAGUGCAAUGAACUUCAUAAAUAGUUUUUCUAGCCCAUAGUGGCUCACAAUUUUUAGCUUUUUCUCUUAUUAACUUGUAUACAAGCAAAGACAACAUGUUUACGUAGAAUCCUAGUCACAUCCCAUUAUCUGCAUUCACAAGUUGAUAUUGCUAAGUUAACAAUGUACUGCCUUCCAGUACAAUGAACUUCAUAAAUAGUUUGUCUAGCCGAUAGUGGCUCACAAUUGUUAGCCCUUUUUCUUUUUAACUUUGCUUGCACUUUAGAGCAUAGUGUACCAGGUUGUUUUUUGAUAUAUUGUCUCUUCACUUGAAAUCUUGUCAUCACUUUCCUUCUAAUAUUCUCCAUCAAAUCAAUAAUUGGUAGUUUAUUUCUAUCUAGUAUUGCUCGAUGCCUCACAUAUAUUAUUACAUGAAAAGAUCACACUUAAUAUCAGGUAUGAAAUGAGAUUUUGUCUACUUUCUUAGCCUUUAUAAGUGAAUCAUUUGCAGCUACAUUUAUAUCCUUAAUUUUCUACAUGUUUUUUUUUCCAAUCUUACAUAAUGUAAGAUGUACCUACCUCCUAAAGUAAAUCUUUCAAUACUUUGCUUUUAAAUUGUUCUUUGAAGUUAUUGUAUAUAUGGUGCACAUAAAACCUAUGGUCCACUCCUUGAAGUGGGCCAUCAAAAACCUCUAUCAGACCCAAACACAUUUAGUAACAAAGUAAAUAAAAGUUAGUAGACUACAAUUAAUUCAUUACGUUAAAUGGUAAUUCAUUAUUGUGUUGAAUGAAAUAUUUAACAAAUAAGAACUAACUAACAAACUUCUUACCUUUCGUCUAUCAAAUAUGAAAGUCCAUUCAUAAGCCUCUGCUGGUCCAAUGGCUUGUAGCACAUUAGUCAAAAAUGAACUCCAUGAAUCCUUCAGUUCAGCUUCUACAACAAUAGCCACAAUUGAAAACAUCUAGUUAUUUCCAUCUCUACCAAUAGCACUAAUAAGUUGUCUACCAAAUGCUCCCUUUAGAAAACAGUCAUACAUACCAAUGAUAGGCCUACAGCCUUCCUUCAAUUCUUUUAUUUAAGAAUCAUAUGAUACAAAGAUUUCUAAAACACUCGGACUAACUCAAGAUGAGGCCUUUCCACUUGUGAAAAAGUGCUUCAUGAAUUCGAUACCUUAAUGAUAUUGUAAUAAUCUCACAAUUUUAUGUACUGCUCUCUUUAUGAUCCCUCUAUAACCUCAUUUGCCUUUCUUUUAUAUAUUUGGUUCUAAGAGACAUCAAUACACAGCUCAUUCCUCUCUAUCUUCUUCAUUGUUGAUGUCCUUCAUGUAGGAUCAUAUCUUAAUGCUCCAAACAUUUACUUGCAAUCCGUGAUGAAGUAGCUUGAUAGUUUUCGAAUUGCCUACCACACUUUUACUCAGGCUACAAAGAUUUAUUUGAAAACAUUCCUCAUAUGCAUUCUAAGAUGCAUGCACCCUCCAUUCGCUUUUUUUUCUAUGAUCGUGGUAUAUUUUUUACACUUCAUAGUAAACUACAUCACCAUCAUUAUCGUAACAAAAUGACAAAAAAUAGAUUAGAAAAAUAAUGUAAGAAAAUAAAAGAAAAAAAUACACUGAAAUUUAUGUGGUUUGGCUAGUAGCCUAUGUCCGCUGAUGAAAACGAAGUGAAGACUUUUAUUAAUGUUGAAAGUGGAGUACAAAGUUGAUCUCUUUAUGAAAAACACAGCACCAAAUUCACGCAGAGUGGUAUAUGACAAGUGGCCAAGAACAUAAAACCAAGAAACUAGUCUAUAUGGAAGAGCUCUAACAUACAAUCGAAUAGGAUUUCACGACCGCCUGGCUCGACUGUAACUUCACCAUGUACGAACCUCUACUACAACUCCCAGCCUUACUCCAGAGCACAUGACACCUUGGCUCUCUUAAUUAAUUUUCUAAUGUGGAUUUAAAUAGAGCAUGGCAUCUUCUAAUGAUGUCGAAGCUCGUUUAGAUAAUGCACUUGUGUAGGAACCUACGUGAUGCGAUGGAUAAAAAUUUAAAGAAAAAAAAUCAUAGAAUACAAAAUGUGCAAAGAGAUUUACUAUUUACCAACCGAAAAAAAAGAGAGAAGAGGAGAUUUACCAUUUACGCGAUGAAAGUCAGACGAAUUUGAGUUCUCGAUCUCGUCACGACGUCUAUUGAGGCCUCGAAGUGCGUGGUGUCGAAGGCGAUAGAGGCGAACCCUAAGGUUACGACGGUAUUGCGGCAAUCGAGAAUAGAGAUGUCGUUGAUCUUAGUGAUGUUCUGGUUUACCUUCUUCCAAGUGACAUCGACGAUGACAAUCGCCUCUCAAAAUGUGAGGAGCAAUGGUGGAGGCAGUGGAGCUGUCAUGGUGCUUCAACAUUAGUAAGGGAGAAUUAUCGAAACCUUAGGGAGGGGAAAGAUGUCACAGCCCGGGGUCCUUUUACAAGUCCUUUUCAAGAAAACACAAGCGGAAAAUGUGUAAUAAGUUUAUUUUUUAAAACCCUUUGAGAAUACUCCGAGACAUGUACAGACCCGCCACAUGGACAGAGGAUCCCCCGUUCAAAAAGACAGAGUCUCCCCUAUACAUACACGGCAUAGAACGAGCAUACAAAAAUCAACUACACCACAACAAAAAAGAAUACCACUAUAAACAAGGAGAAAAUUGCAGAAACUGAUAUUUCAGAUAAAAAUUCAACAAAUCUAAUAACUCAAACUAUCACUCUAAUAUCAUGAAUAAUCAGUAGAUACUAACUAAGAGUUAUGCCAACAGAAACUAAACUAAAAUAAGUACAUCAAUAAAUAAGUCCAUAAAAGUCCACGAGGGAAACAAUCCAGGACCUUGCUAUAUGGAGCCGUCCUCACGCAUCGUCCCGACCUUUAUCGCCCGAGCUACCUGAAAAAUAGUGGGGGGUGAGAACAUGUAAACAUGUCUUCCCCUCCAAGUGGAUACCGCAAGCCGACGAAGGCAAGCUGUACACACCGGCAGACGGAAGAGAUAACAACAGUAAUAGCAAGUAGUCAGAUAUAACAACAAACAAUAACUACCGAUAGGCACAAAAGGAGCUACUACUGUACGACUAAAUAGUAAAGAAAUGAACAACUGGAAUCGACAAUCUCUAUGAUAAGAAACCGCUACUGUAAAGUAAAGAUGGAGGAAUGCCCAUGCAGCAACUAAAAACUAAUAGUACCAAUAUACCUAAUCAACAGCUAUAUUGGUAUAAAGACCUCAGGCUAGUGCCACACUGCUCUGAAUGGCGUAUAACCCUAGUAUAAGCUCCUGAAUGGCGUAAAGACCCAUAUUGGUGUAAAGACCUCAGGCUAGUGCUACACUGCUCUGAAUGGCGUAUAACCCUAGUAUAAGCUCCUGAAUGGCGUAAAGACCCAUAUUGGUGUAAAGACCUCAUGCUAGUGCCACACUGCUCUAAAUGGCAUAUAACCCCAGCAUAAGCUCCUAGAUCUGAAAGACAUAUAACCCUAGCAUAAGCUCCUGGGUCUAAAAGGCAUAUAACCCUAGCAUAAGCUCCUAGGUCUCACAAGUUGGCACUCACAACCACUUUUCUGAAAAAAAACACUCUCUUGCUGUGGAUCAGAUCAUUAGUGUUCGUGAAAUGCGUAUGAGCUGUGGCGAUCGAUAUUAUAUACUCAAUGGCCAACGAUGGCGAAAAGCUGGAAGAAUGAUCACAACCAUGUCUGACCAAACCAGGUCAAAUAUUUUCGAAGGAAUGUCACAAUGUCACUGACCUAUCAAGUCUAUAAAGCCAUGUCACCAAGUACAAAAUGCCAUCCAUAAUAAGGUCAUGCAAUGAUAAUCAGUCUCUGGAAUGCUACUCUACUACUAGAUCAAACGUGAUACUGUAAAACGAAAUAACCAUAGAGUAGACUAACAAGAACCGAGUACUAUGCAGGAUACUCAACAUAUAAUCAUGAUACCGUAAGACAAGGCAACCGUAGAGUAGAUGUCAUGCCCCGGGACCCGGCAUAGGCCCACCCGGUGCGUGCUCAGACACGGCAUAUGUCAAUAGAUAUAAGGCGUCUACACAAUAGCGAUAAGUGAACAAGAAAUAGAGAGUAUCUAGAGAUAUUAGAGUAAGUAUACAGCUAAAUUCUAUCAACAAGUAGAAUCAAAGGUAACUAAAUCACUAAAGUAAAACAUAGAUUAAUACAUCAUAAAUCUCAAGAUACAUAUAAGGGGUGGUCUCUACAAAAAGGUACAAAUCUCUCAACCUCUCCUAAAAAGAAAAAAAAGAGAGGUGGACCACCUAUCGACGAAUCCCUCGCUAGCUAGCUCGAGGCGCUUCCUUUCCCGCGAUCCCGAGCCUCACCCGGAGUGGAAGGCUCUAAAAGAAAACAUAAAACAGAGGGCGUGAGAAUUAUAAUUUAUAGUUCCCAGUGAGCAAUUACUAACCUGAGCAAAGUGCGCUACUAGGCCCAAAAAGAGAGCAGAUAUGAAUAAUUGAAAAUAACUGCGGUAAUGAAAGCAUAUAAUGCAGUGCUAUCUACUAUGCUACAAGUAUACAUGAUGUCAACAUGGUGUACAUCUAUUCUAUCAUGAUUCCAAUAUGCCAAUACAUAACAAUUAUACUCUAUCAUGGCUACCAAGUAUACUAUGAUGCAACAAGUAAUACUAUCAAGUAUACUACGUGUCCCAAAGUCCAAUAAUCCAACUACUCUAUGCUAUCAAGUAGUGAUUGUCAUAAUAUUGAUUAAUGUUCUCGUUCAAUCUCAUUUAGGACCUACACAUGUGUAGUCCAGUUUGUGCCGCCUAGCUGCCUGUGGUAGCCCAUCAUUCCACGCUAAGAAUGAGUCUGUCCCACACGACCCUACAGGCGUCUCGCCGCCUAGCUGCCCAUGGUAGCUCAUCAUCCCACGCUGGAAUGAGGCUGUCCUACGCGACCCUACAGGUGUCUCAAUCCCGCACGCACGAACUGCGUCGCAAAGGCUAACUCCGGAGUGCCGGCUUGUAGGGAGCCACCCUCACAAGCAUGUACGAAUGAGCACAAAUGGCAAGUAAGCAUAGUCAUCAUCUCACGGAUCUCAUCAUCAUGUCUCUAACAUGGAAAUACUUACUAGCAACCCCAAGGGUCUAGUCCAAUGUCCAAUUGCGCAAGUGAAGGCUUAACCAUUCAUUAAGUUCGAUGUCUCUAUAUGACAUUAUACCUCACUAUGUCCAAAUCCUGUUCCAACACUAAUGUCACUUUAUGACAAUAGGUUUACCAAGUCCAUUCAUAUUCUAAGCUCAAUGCCGCUUUAUGACAUUAGCUUACUAAGUCCAUACAUAUGCUGAGCCCAAUGCCGCUUUAUGACAUUAGCUCAUUCCUAUGCUAAGCAUGAGUUCUAAGCCCAAGAGUGCAAUGUACUCAUCAUUUUCACUAAAUGAAACAUGAUCCCAAACCAAGUAUAAGAAUGCUAACCAUAGGCCCCAAGCCCAACAUGAAAACUCUCUACUAUAUAGAGGUCCAAUAUGCAUUUUCAUUUUCAUUGUAUAUAACAUGUGCAUUUUAAGUAUUCUAAAAUUCUCAAAUAUUCUAUCUAACAAGAAUAUGCAUGCAUUUUCAUUUUACGAUAAGUAAGAACCAUCAUAGGGGAGAUUUAUCCUAUUUUGGUGAGGCCAAACCCACCAAGUCCUUUCGAAACCCUUCAUUUCGUCGAAGGAAGGUGCCCACAAGCCUUCUAGCUCCCUAUAGGUUAGACUAGGAGUGUUAUACGAACAUUACGAAUAACACAUAGGUUAAAUAUUAACCAACUCAACAAAAUGGCCAAAACUCACCUAUAGUGUAGAAAAUUCCUCUCAAGCUCCAAAUGGGAGCUAGAACCCUUCCAAUCCCACCUAGAGGAAGGUUCUAAUCCAAUCAAUUGAGCUCCAAAAGCCCUAGAUCAAAAAUUUCCAAAUUAAACCCUAAUUUCACAUUUCUAGGGUUUCCAAGCAAAAACUCAUGAAACACAAGAUCAAGAGAGGGGGAGUAAGAAACCAACCUCUUUAGAGCUCCCAAAGACCCAAGAGACCAGCUAGGGUUGAUGUUCUCUCCUUCCACGAGCUCCAACCACGAGCUCAAGGGUUCUCCAAUGGUGUAGGUUGCACCAAGAAGUAAAAGAGAGCAAAAAGGAAGGUUAAAACCUCAAAAUUCCCUCAUAAAUCAAAGAAAAUCAAAGAGGAGGGAUAGAGGACUCCCUUAUCUUCUCUUCCCUGCUUCCCAGCUCAGAGAACACCAAGGAGGGCGUGGGGUUAUUUGUAGUAAUGCUACAAUUCCAAAAACACCCUUUAAAAACAUCCAGAUUGCAGUCUGGCAAAGUGUACCGGUACACGAAAAAGUGUACCUGUACAAAACCCCCGAACACACAAACCCGAGGCUCGGGUUGGCUGAAAAUCACAUUUGUAUCGGUACAACCAUCAAGGUAUACCGGUACAAAACCUAUUCCGGUACAACCAUCAAGGUUGUACCGGUACACAGCCCUGCAAGAUGCAACCCGAGAGCAGCCUAAGUCCUCCACUUUGGUGACCUUAGCGCUACUUUAAAUAUCUCAAUUCUCAGGAUACGAGCCAUAGGUCGGAACACUGUCAACGAUCCUCCAGAAUAUCUAAAAAAACUCGGAACACUGAUCAAACACUCGAACCCCGCAAUUUGCAAAAGUCCAGUAUGUUACAGUAGAUCAAUGAAUACUUAAUGUCGUGCAAGAUAUUCAAUAUACGUGCAUGAUAACAUAGGCAAUCAUAAGAGAGAAGAAAGGGAAGAGGUCACCGAGCGUAUGCCUCUGAACCGACUUCGGAUCGAAGUACCCACCUGUCACAAUCGCGUCUAAAUCCUGGACGUGCAUGAAGUCAACCGGACUUACGAUGGGUCCACCGAGUCAGAUACAAACCCUUACUGACUCAACGAAAGAACUCACACAAAUCCCACAUCUCGAGACUCAGUUUUCCAAUGAUCGAUCUCUGCAAACCGUCGGAAACGUCCCGAAAUUGCACCGGGACGUCCCCGGGACCCAUAGAAAGUUCAAGAAGGCACCGACUCGCGCCAGGAGUUAAACGCUACCCCGAAACACACACAUUUGGGUGUUUCGACAGCAAACAUUAAGUCCUACGCCAAAACGCUUAUCGUCGGAUAACUAUUUCAAUUCGGGUUUCCGUCAGCCACCCGACGUCUCUGGACACUUGAUGCAGCUUAGAUGACCAGCCAACAAGGCUCAGUGGUAAAAACCCAGUGCAUCCUAGAGGCACGGGAAGAAUCCUAAGCCAAAACCACAUUCCAUCAGCAGAUUUCGCCGAAAAAUUCACCGGAACCGAUUUUCGGCCUCCGUGAGGGGUAACGAACCUUGGACAACUAGUCCAAGGGUCACCCACCACACAUACACGCUGCGAACAGUAGCUACCCGCGCAACAAUUGCGUAAAAACCCUACCACUAAAUAUUAUUACAUUUUAUAUUUAAAGUGGGAGGAAAAAUGAGUCGUUACCGCGAUCCGAGCAUUCCCGAGGUCGACCGAGGGCACCAGUUGACAGCCCUCGAUGAGGCAAAGGCCGUGCUUGCUGUCCGGAGCACAGCAAGCAAUCGAGGAACACGCAGGAACAGCCCGAACUUUAGCGAUCGAGGCGAAACGGGCACGAUGGAGGUGAAAACCCAAGAUCGAGUGCGAGAUGAGCACUGCGAUCAGGGCACUCUCAGGAUCGCGGUACUCCCCACCUUUGAGGAGGUCUGGAUGCGUCAAAACAGUGCGACGCUCGAAACCAGGGCAAAAACCGGCCAAGGAGAGGUUCGGAUUCACUCCGGUUGGCAGGGGGCUCCGGCGGCUCCGGCGUCAAAAUAGUGCGGCGGCGGCUGGGUGCGACCGGUAGGGAGGAGCCGGCGACGGGAGGCGGUCGGGGAGGCGGGCACUGAUGCCCUAGCCGCAAGAAACCAAAGGUGAGCCUGGCUUGGCUUCUCUGGCAACAGCGGCCAUGGGGUGGCACCCACCGGUGGCGGGGUCCCCAGGGGGCGCAAGGAGGGGAAGCGGGGCACCGGGAGAUGGCGGUGGCGGCUGGAGAAACUCAGCCCACGCAGGCUCGAGCUCAAGCUCGGGUGGCUCUUUGGCGGUAGCAGGGGCCGACGACAACAGUCCUCAGGGAUCAGAAGGAGGCGGCGGAAGGGGGCCCAGGGAGGCGGCAGUGGCGCGGAGGAAAGGUGGCUCCUCCAAGCCCGAGCCCACGAAAAUGAGAGGUCUGGCGAGCGCGGUGGCCUCGACAGUGCAUGAGGCCGUCGAAGAUGAGUCGCCGGAGAUGAGGCAGUGCAGGGAGGGCCCGAGGGAGUGGCACGGCUCUCCUUGCAAAUCGAGUUCACAAGGAAGAAGAAAGGGAGAGAGUGAAAGAGAAAAAGAUGAAGAGAUGGAGAGGCUGAGGGGCUCCUCGUCGGCCGAGCAGUCGCCGAUGCCGGUGAGGCAUAGGGGGAAGGUGGCAGUCAUGCUCGAAGCCUAGAACGUCUAGGGUUAGGGUUUCCCGCCUACAAUUUCACACACACAGCCAUAUAUAUAUGUAUAUUGUAUAUAUGUAUAUAGAAUUUGCAUUUAGGCCCCUCCAAAUUCAUACAAUUGGAGUGAAAACCCUGCCAACAUGCAACAUUUGCACAGUAGCACCAUUCCGAGGAGUUUCAAACGAUUUUAUACAUCAAAUAACAUCAUUUCUCACAAAGAGAUCCCUCGAUAAAGUCUCUCUCUCUCUCUCAACUUUGAGUCUGUGUUGUUUUGCGCAGAAGUGUUAGAAUUCUAUGAGACCUAUAUCAGCGCGUUCCCCUCGGAGUAUACAUUAUUUGAACCCAUCCACUCUAAGAAACUCCAACAUUUCACAAAUAAAAUGAUAGCUUCUACUGGAAGUGCUCUAUUUCUACAAAUCGCUAAUAUUGCAAUUUAACCCUCCAAACUCAAAAUUCCUUUUCAAUAAUUCACCAGUGCGAAUAAUUCGCACAAUUGUACCUACCCUUUGAGUUUCGUGCAGUUCGGUACAUGAAAUGUCGUACCUUUUCCAUAAAAAUCCAAUUUCGCCAAAAGGCCAAUAUGUGAUGAGAGCUUAUUUCUUGAGAACCAUGCAUCGAACGUAAACUCUACCUGCGCCAUUGGAUCCGGCAUAGUCAGAUCGUUGAAAAUGAGCUAUUGGAUCACUAGAAACGGAGUCCAGUAUGCGACAGAAGCCAUCUACACUCAACAACCCAUCCCGAAAAUGCGAGUUACUAUUCACUUUAAGUGAAAAGUAAUAAUCGCAUAAAAUUCUUAUUUUAAAUUAUUUUUUGCUGAAGUUUGACAGAUAGUUUUAAAAUUAAAAUACACAUGAUAACAUCUAAACGAAUGUCAAAUCUUCAUAGGAGAAAAUCUCAAUCCUCACAAAAGGGAAUUGGGGAGGCUGGGGGAUAGAGCAGUUGGUGAUAGUAUUGGCAUCAUCACUGUCCUUGUCGAGGGCACGUAAGACGAGGUGAAGGCGGCAGUCGAAAGGUUCCGAGUAGGGAAAGAAAGAGGGAAGGAGAGGGUGGAAGGAAUGAAGGGGUGGAACAAUAGAAUGGAGAAGAAGGUUGAGCCAUUAAGCAAAUAAAAAAUAUUAAUUGGAGAAAAAAGAUGAAACAACAAGAAAAAAAGUGAAAAUUGAAAAAAUAUUAAUUGGGUAGGAAAGAUGAAAGAGUUGGGAAAGAAGAGAAAAUAGAAAAAAUAUUAGUUGGGGAGGAUUAGCACUAUAGUCCUUCCUACUAUUUAUACCUUAAUUCUCACGAAUUAUUGACACUGUUUUGCAAACUAUAAAUGUAACAUCAUAUAUACAUUUUUGUUCCAAUGCUAUAAUUUAAUAGUUUUGUAUUGAUAGCUUAGUGACUUUAUUGUAAUAUACCGAAAUUUUCGGUUUACAAUGCUAACUUUGAUCUGGGUGAGCAAAGAGAAGUUUGAGUUGGAUGUGCAUUAUUCCAGAGUAAUUUUGGAUGCGUGGGAAUAACUUCUGGAGGUAUUUGAGUGUUUCGGUGCAAAUCGAGCGCGAAACGAAAUCAAAAGAGAAGUUCUGAAAGCAAGGCUAGCUUUGAUCAAAUUGAUCAAAAUAAUGCUAAAAUAUAAAUUAGUUAGUCCCCAAGUUAAAUUGGUGUUGUGGUCAUAGUUAGUGGCAUGUGUUGAAAGUGUUUAGAGGUGCUAGAAUGAAGUUGACGCGAGAAAAUGACUUGGUAGUAAUGCUGCCAAGUGCAGAUUUUGUACUAAAAAGCUGCAGGGACUAAUCUGCAAAAGCAGAAUUUUUAUUUUUUAGGGGGUUUAAGUGCAAUAGCUGCUGCUGCUGCUACUGCUACUGCUAAAUGCUUCUGCUACUGCUGAUUGCAGCUGCUACUGCUACUGCUGCUGCUAAAAAUUGCUGCUGCUGCCAGCUGCUGUCAAGUGCAGAGACUGUUUUGUAAACUGCAGGGACUGUUUUGUAAAAACUGCAAAUUCAGCUUUGUGGAGGGGUUUAUUUGAAGUUGUUUGAAUUUAUCUAUUGACCCAGCACCCUCCACCAGCUGUACGUACAGGGAAUCUCAUCUCCUCAGCCUUUCUUCUUAUCUCUUUUUUUCUCUCUCUAGAAUCUGCCAUAGGUGGUUUUGAAGGAGCUUCUUAGUGGAGUCGAUACUUUGAGCUGAAAGGAAGGCUUUUGAGCAGGAAAUUGGUUGUUGGAGAGGAAAACCAAGGUAAGGUUGAUGUAAAUUUUGGUUUCGGGUUAGAUUAAUUACUUUAGAAAGGGAUCUAAGUUAUGAAUUUUGGGUUGUUAAUGAUUUAGUUACCAUGAAUGGACCUAGAAGUAUACUAUGGACAGCAUGUGUAUACUACAAGGCUGUUACUUGCUAGGUUUUGUUGUGUUUAAUAUAAAGAAGUAGGAAAUCUGAAGUAGAUGAGUCCCAAUUCCUGGUUAGAGUUGAAUUUUUUGCCUUAGGAAGAAUCUAAUUUGGAAUUCCAUGGUUGUUAAAGCUUGUAAAAGCUUAGAAACUGCAUCAUGGACAGCCUACAUGAGAGGUAUUGACUAGAGAUGGAACUUGAUGAGAACUUAUGCUAUUCCUAGUUUGAGGGUUAUGUAUUUACAUUCUAAAGAGGUAUAAGUUGCAGAUUUGAACAUUGGAACCCCUAAAACCAUGAAGAAGCUUAGGGAACUUUGUAUUGGCAGCAUAUAUGUAUAUAUAUAUAUAUACAUGUGAAUAGUUUGUUAGGAUAAAAUCUGAGGUAGAUUAAUCCUAAAUCCUGGUUAGGAGUGAUGCUAUUUACUUGUAAAGGAAUGGAACAAUAGAUUUAUUGAUUGCUAGAGUUUCUAGUUGCUAUGAAACCUAAGAGAUAAGCUUAAUGUCAAGCUAUGUAUUGAGUAAUAUACAUAUGAGCUGCUGAUUAAAAGUGAAACCAGAGAUAAAUUGAUCAUGUGCCCUGGUUUGAAUGAUGUUAGUUACUCAAUAAACAGGUUGAACAAAGGCUUUUCUUGAGUACUAGUAAUUGUGGUUUCCAUGAAAGUUUAGAAAGAUCAUAUGUUGACAAUAUAUAUGUGAAAUUGGGUUAUAUAUGUGCAAAUUGUAGGAAUGAUGUUAUAGUUUGGGUUUGAUAUUUUGUAUUCCUUUGUGAAGGAAAGUUCGACGUGUUCGGAAGCUCGAAUUGACAUUCCGACGGACCUACGAUGUGCUAAUUAGGAAAAGCCUUGUUUUGCUUGCGUUUGCGUUGAGUCACGAGGAAUAGGCGCUUGUAAAUUUUGAAGCUCUAGUUCUAGCAUUUUGGCAUCCCUAUAAGGUGGGUGGUGCUAUCCGGAAUCUUCGAAUCCCUCUUUAUGUCUAUGUUGCCUUGUUGAGCAUACAUAUAUAUGAAUUAUAUUGUAUUCAUGCAUUAUAGGGGAAAGGUCAUUAUGUGAAUAUGAAUUGAGUAAUUGAGCAUGUUCAAUGUAAAGAACUUAUGGACAAUAGAUUACGAACAUAGAAAACCCUAUGAAUGUGUGAAUUGGUAAUGGACUAUGACGAUAGUAAACUUGGUGACAUUAUAACUAGAGGAAUUGGUUAGCAUCGGGAUUUGGAACUGUAAACCUAGCAUAAAGAGCUAGUUAAAGUUUAAAGUGUGGCAUUAUUAGUCGGUGGAUUCUCUAUAUGAGGAUUAGAUCAUACUCACAUUAGUCUAAUGCUCGAGGAAGGUCGCUCCUCCUUGGGCAAUGAGCUCCGAAGUGGUCAUCAACUGGGUUGGGAGCAGGAGUCUCCCCAGUAGACUGUCCCGUCGGGAUGUAGCUUGCAUAUCCCUAAUAGUAGGGAUUUAAUUGGUGAGUUGCAGUUAAUUAUAGGGUUAACUGAAUUGAUUGGGUAAUGGUAUUGGUAUUAAAAGCAUGCAUGCAUAAACUCCAUGAGUUAUAUAUUGUUCUUUCCAGCUUUGUACAGGCAUUGUAGUAGUUACAUGAUAUAGUUGGUUACUAUCUGUUCUCUUUUAUUGCCUACAUAUGCCUGAUUAGACCUAGUAGGUGAGUCGACGAGAUCGACGGCCGAACCUACUUGGAACUUUUAGUAGUUCUCACACUACUAACCAUGCAGGUCCUAGAGCGAGCAGAGCGGUCGAGGAUCGCGGCAAGGGCGUUGCACCUUAGUUAGUGGACUCCCGAGUAUAGCUAUGUACCAUUUUUGGCUUUCAUCUGAUAUAUAUGAUGAAAAGGAAAUCAUGUAAAAAUGUUGUACGAAAUGAGCAUGUAAUAUGUCGUAAGUAACUGAAUGUAAUAGUAUCCAGCUUUUGUAUUUUGUUUAAAGUUUUCAAGAUACAGUUAAUACAUGUUUAGUUAGCUUACUUUCACUUGUGAUGAUUGCUUGCCUUCGUGCAAGCCAUGUAUAUUGAAGUGUUAUCCUGUGUUAUUUCUUUCUUUAUACAUGUAAUUGUAAUUGUUGAGCCUUGGGCGGACAAGGGAGGUGCUGUCCGUUCGGCGUCUGUGCACGGGCCCGGAUCGAUCAAAUUGGCGAUAGCGGGACGUGACACUUUAUUGUACUAUGGUAUCAUUUUUUUAUUGAUUUUUGUCAACUUGAACUAAUAUAUAAUAUUGUAGGCACUUUACUGCAAAAGGAAAUUGAGCAAAUUAGUAAAAGAACAUUUUAAGUCAUUUGAAUGAAGCAAGAAAAACAAUAAUUUAUGAUUUACGACAUAUAUUGCUCUAUUAUAUUAUUUUCUUUUGUAACACUCCAAUAGUCCUAUAUUGGAUUGAAAAGGAUUCACAUGUUAGGUAUGUAAAGAUUAAGCACUCUUAUACUAGUAACUAGAGCUUACAGUUUUGGGUUUGUAGUUUGAGUUUAAUAAGUUGGAAAUGCUAGUGGAUUGAGUUAUUAUACGAUCCUUCCUUUGAAUGAUACUAGUUAAACAAGGGUUGCAAAUAGUUCGUGGACAAACAUAUGGAUGCCCAACAUCAACUAGGACUUGACAUAUGUUACUUUGUUCAAACACAACACCUUUCCUUUGAGGGUACUUUGAAAACUAUAGUUUUGGUGCGUUCCUAGGAAAACAUGUGGAUGUCCAACCCUAGCUAGGACUUUUCUAACUAGUAAAAGCAUAGCAAUAACUCCAAUAUUUUGUGGGUUGUGUUAUCUAUUUUCCAUGUUGUAGAUAAAGUUUAAUCAAUUAAGAUUCGACAUACUCACUAUGAUGGAUUGAGCCAACAAGCUCAAAUACGGAUUCCAUGCAUGAUAUAUAACUAACCCACUUUGUAAAUGGCCAUCAUGUCCGCCAUCUCAUACUACCACUUGCCUCACUAUUUGAUUGCACUACUUUGAUUAGGUUAAACCUUUGGUUAAUGAGUUUUGCCCAAUUAUCUUUAUGAAAUCUCAACUUUUAAACCUAAAAAAGCUUGUUUUAGAGUAGGUUGUAAAUUUGGGUCCAAGCUCAUCUCAAAGGUUAAUUGAUAGGUGCCCAACAUUAAAUACGCUUGCUAUGAAAAAUGUUUAGUAAGUAGUAAAAAGGAUAGAUCAAGAUUUAUUACAACACUCAAAUCAAGACAAACAUCAUCAAUUACCAUUAUUGUCGCAAUUUGAUGCUUCGCUUGAUAGCUAUAAACCUUAGAAGGUUUAUUUAUAAAGGUGUAGAUUUGGUACAUAACAUGUAUAGCAUAAGUUGUUUGCUGUUGAUAAAAAUUGUAAGGCUAUAAUUCAAAAAAAUUGUCAAAAUUAACUAGACUAGAUGAAAGUUGGAUUGUUAGCACUUUUGGUCAUAAUGUUUGUAGGAUAUUGUUGGCUUUUUAUGCCAUUCAGUAAUUAGUGAUAAAAAAUUGGCAUUUAGACAUUUUAUAGGUUUUGGCUUCUAUAUAUUGUUUGCAAAUUUGAAGUCGAAAAUGUACCAAAUUCCUUCUAGUGCGUUAACAUCAAGCAGACUAUGUCCUUGCAAUCACUUUUCCGUCUUCACUAUAUCUAUUGAGAAAGAAAGAUAGAAUCUAGAAUUCUCAUACUUUCCUAGAAGUACUAUAAUUUGACAAAUUAUCCAUAUUAUUGAAUGUGACAAUUUGGCAAAAAGUGGUCAUCUCUUGUUGACUUUUUAGUGAAGACCAUGCAGUCUUGCCUAACUAUUUGAGUCUGUACAUAUGACAUUAUUUGUGGUCUCUCUCUCCCUAUCCGUUCCCCCCUCUCUUUCUCUUUCUCUCUCUUUCCAUUUCUUCUCAAUUGGUUGGGUAAUUACAAAGUAUGCAAAUUUUGGACUUACAUUCUAACUUAAUAAAGGUAGAGCGAAGAAAAAAGGUCAUUGUAAAGUAGGAUAUAAUCUAUAUGAUAUAAAUUAUGUACAAGUUAGAUUUUGGUGUUCUGUGCCAGAGGAAAAGUUAAAUUCUUUCUAAACUUUUAAUUUACAAAUAAUACAUAGAAGCCAAAACCUAUAAUAUAGCAAAGGAACUAAUAAUGGAAAACCGAUAAUAUCCUACAAAUAUUUUGACCAAAACGCGCUAUGAAUCCAUCUUUCAUUUGCUACAAAUAAAUAUUGACAAGUUUUUUGAAUUCUAGGUUUGCAAUCUUUAUCGACAACAUGCAAGUCAUGCCAGGCAUUUUUAUGCAACCAAUUCACAACUUCAUAGAUUAAUAUCCUAUGAUUAUCGCUAAUAAGCAAAGUAUCAAAUUGUAAUAAUAAUGACAAAUUUACAACUGACAAAUGAAGCAUCAAAUUGUGAUAAUAAUUGCAAUUGAUGAUACUUAAUUGAUUAGAAUGUCCUAGUAAAAUUUUAUCUGUCUAUACUUUUCUUGACUCAGUAAACAUUCCAAUAAGAGAGUAGUCAAUAUUGGAUACCUGUCAAUUAACCUUUUGAAUAAGCUCAGAUCCAAGAACACAAUAUGCGCCAAACCAACUUCAAAUUCAAAAGUCUAGAUAUCUUCAAUAUAAUUGAGCUGAACUCAUACAAGCUAUGCUUUCAACUGGUCAAGGUGGUGCAAUCAAAUAUCAAGACAGGGUAGUACAAGACAACGAACAUCUAUCAAACUCACAAUGUGAGUGACAUAUGUCAUUUACUUAUGUGAUAUCCUACUUCCCAAGAGGGUCACCCAUUCUAUAACUACUAUAGCCCUAUUACAUUUAACCCUCUUAAACUCUUGGGCUUAGUCACUACCCAAAAUGUUGUAGCUAGGUUAAGAGGUUUAACCCUAUUAUCUAUUAUAUAUAGGAUAUUCUAAAUUCUAGGGGUGUCACAUUCCUUUCUUCUUUAAGCUCUGGCAUUCUUGUCAGGCUGGAGCACAUUCAUAAGCAUCGGGCAAUAUGAGAUUCGUCUCGCUAGCCUUAGCCAACCUUAUGGGGAGCCGCACUUCACCUACAGUAGUCAUCAGCUAAGGAGCUGCGUUCUUCCCAUUUGUGUAAUGCUUGCUUAGUCGAGACUUAUUUCACAUUUUUGGCUAGUGAUUAGCUUUGAUACUAACUACAAAACCCUAUUCCUAGGGAGGCCACCCAUCCCAAAACUACUCGUCCUAUUAUGCUUAACCCUCUUAACCUCUUGGGCUUAACCACCGCCAAAAUGCUACAACCAGGUUAAAAGGUUUAGCUCUAUUGUAUAUUAUGUAUAGGACUAUUUCAAAUCCUUGAGGUGUCACAACUUAAUCUAUAUUUAAGCUCAUUGGCUACAUCUGCCAUAGUCAGUGCGCUAAGCCUUAAUUCAUUUUAUUCUAAUGAGGUUGGGAAGCAGAUAACAUGGCCUGCAAAAUCUUUGAAUUCCAGGAAUGAGCCAGAACAAUAAUUUUUACCACAUCUUUUAAAUAAAGAAAGCUAUCGUAAUUGCAAAUGACUAGGGGUGGAAACGAGCCGAGCUCGAGCGAGCUUACCUCGGCUCAAAUUCGGCUUGAAAUUAAUUUCGAGUCUAAAUUUAAGUUCAAGCUUGGAUUGAAAUUAAUUCGAGCCGAGCUCGAGCAAGCCUAAUUUCAAGUCGAGCGAGCUCGAGCCCUAAACGAGCCGCUUGAAAUUCUCAACAUUAUACGAUCACUAGUUUAAUUUGUAUAGAACAUUAUCUAUAAUUUAAUUAAAAAAUAUGUCUAAUAGUUCAAAAUACAAAAUAAUUAUAUGAAAUAUAGUAUUAUAAUAUGAAAAAAAAUAAUUUAUGAGUUGAAUAUCUAAUUUUUUCAGCCUUACAUAUCUUUUCUUCUGCCAUCAUUCUCUAUAUUAUUCAUUUUCAUUUAUGCAAUCAAAAAUAAAUAAAUUAUAUAGAUAAAUAUUAGAUUAAACUAUCCAAUCAUAUAUAACUAAAAUUAAACUUUUAUAUGAAUAAUAAUUUUUUACUUUAAAAAUAUUCUGUAUAUUUUCUCAAGCAUACAAUUAAUAGCAAGGUAGGCAACGGCGGGCAUAUGAUGUUACUUGGUAACUUAGAGGGCUUCCGGCUUGGCCACUUAGGGUGAGAGAUAGAAAAAGAGAAAGAGAGAAACAUAUUGAAAAUUUAGAGCUCUAUGAAAGAAAGAAAGAAAAAAAGGAAAAAUAUAUAAAUUUAGUAGAAAUUUGCUCUUUUAUUUGUCUAUUGGGUUUGUUUUUAUGGGCCAACAACAUUGGUCCAAUUUUAACUAAACUCACAUUAUUCACUCAGGCUAUAUAUAAUUAAAAUAUAUUAUAUUUAUAUAGCAUAGUGUAGAACUACUAUACUAUCGAAAAUAUAGAGGAUUUGAUGUUUUUGAAUUUUUGACUCUUUGAUUAAAAAUUGUAUGGUUGGGAUGAUUGCGGUUUCUCCUAUGAUUAAAUAAUACUCUUAGGUACUGUUCGGUUCGGGUAAAAGUAAGAACUAGCUAUUACAGGGAUAUGUACAAAUAUGGGGAUAAGAAAAUAGUGUUUGGAUGAAAAUUGGGUUGUUCCCGGGGAUAAGAACAAUUUUAGGUAGUUUUAUAUAAAAAAUGGAGGUGUUGGUGGGGAUAACCGAGAAUUACUAUUCUCGGAUAAAAAAUUAGCGUUUGGGUACAAAAGGGGGAUAAUGGCCUAUUCCUAUCCCUAUCCCCUAACCAAACGCUGUCUUAGGAUUGAGUGGUCCCUACAAGGUAAUAAUAAUAUUAAUCCAAAGAUAAGAAACGAUUAAAGGGAUUGAUCUAAGAAUUAAAAAAUCGAAAGCACCAUAUCUCUAUACUUUCGAUAGCAUAGUAGCUCUACUAUAUAUAUAUUCGAGCUUUUCGAGCUUUUCGAGCCUAAUUCGAACGAGCCGAGUAAUACUCAAGCUCGGCUUGAAAUGAAUUUCGAGCCUUGUUUUUUGUUCAAGCUCGGCUCAUUUAAUUUCGAGUCGAGCUCGAGCGAGCCAAAUAUCGAGUCGAACGCGAGUCGAACGCGAGCCGGCUCGCUCAUUUGCCAGCCCUACAAAUGACAAGUCUCGACUGUGGUUGGAAAUCCAUAAUUUUUUCUAGGAACAAGUUGGAAUUCUAGUUUUCAUAGCAUCCUUUGAAGGAAUGAAUGUGUAACAAAUCAACUCACUUCUACCAGCAACUUAUUAGACUUAAAUCACCAAUCCAAAAUCUUAAACCCUAGUUGUAACAAUCCGAGCCACUAGCACUUAUAACUUGUUGGGCCUAAAUCACCGGCCCGAAAUGCUUAAACUCGGUUAUUUGUUAUAGUGUGCCCAUCACAUAUAAACCUCUUAUACUCUCUUUCCCACAUUAUUCAAUGUAGGACUAUUGGAGCAUUAUAUACUUUCCUCGUCAAGUGUGCCCAUCACAUGUAAACCUCUUAUACUCUCUUUCCCACAUUAUUCAAUGUAGGACUAUUGGAGCAUUAUAUACUUCCCUCGUUUUAGGCCCUAAAAUCCCGUCAAUCCAAUAACACACAUAGUCCAAGAUCACCAAGCUGUAAUGUGAGACCUACCUUAUACUUCUGAUUGAUGAACUGACUCUAAUACCAACUGUAAUGAUUCAAGCCACUAACACUAAUAACUUGUUGGUCCUAACUUCUUGGGCCUAGAAUAGUUCUAAGAUGGGUGAUGUAACACACUGGACCUGUGCAAAUUGCGAGGUUCGGGUGAUUGGAUGUGUUCCGAGCUUUUCCAUGCUUUGUGGAGGGUCGUAGAAGGUGUUCCGACCUAAAAAGUUUGAAUUCUGGAAUUUCAGCUAAGUCCUGAGAGUUUUACUCUCGGGGACCGGUCCCUACGGGAAGAGACCGGCCCCCGGCGAGGCAACCGGUCCCCCGGCGAGGCAACCGGUCCCUGGCGGGUGAGAUCGGUCCCCGAGCGCGUUUUCGCGGGGAGAGACCGGUCCCAUGCUGGGAGAGACCAGUUCCCGAGAGCAGGUUUUGCGGGAUGGACCUGAGAGACCGGUCCCAAGCAGGGAGAGACCGGUCCCUCUGGGCGAAAUCUGCCCAGUCCGGGCUUUGCACAGGUUGCAAAGUUGAGGGACUUUUCUGGAUUUUGUUACUCUAGAGGGCCUAUAUGGCCAUUUCACUUCCCUUUCUCCCUCAUUUCACCCUCCCACUUGCUUUUAGAGAGAGAAGGAGAAGAAGGAGGAGAAGGAAGGAGAAGGAGAGCUUGUUUGAGGACUUGGAGCUUCACCCUCACCCUCUCUUCUUCCUUUUGGUGGUUUGGAGCUUGAUGGUGGACCAAUCUUCAACCCUUGAGGAUUUUGAGCUUGGUUUGGAGCUUCCUAGAGGUUAGUUGCUUGUUUCUCCCUUUUAGACCUAGUUUUGGUGGAUUUUGGGAGGAGAAACCCUAGAAUGGAAAAUCUAUGGUUUAUUUGGGGCUUUUUGAUUAGAGGCUUUUUGAGCUAAUCUAAUUGGAUUAGAACCUUGGUUUAGGUUGCUUUGGAAGGGAUCUAGCUUCCAUUUGAGCUUUCGAAAGGGAUUUCUAUGCUAUAGGUGAGAUUUUGGCCCUUUUGCUUAGUAGGUUAAUGUUUGAGCUUGUAGUUGAUUGUAAGAUUUGUGUAACCUUUGUUUUUGUGCCUCUAUGGUACUAGGAGGCUAGCGGGCACCUUCGUCGGAGCUUACGAAGGGUUGCGUGAGUUUUAGUGGGUUUGACCUAGCCUACAAUAUGAGAAAUUCUCAUAUUUGGUGAUUUAUGUUUCGUAAAGUGAAAAUUCAUGCAUAAUCAUGUUAAAUGUAAUUAUUGUGAACUUUAGAAUGCUUAAUAUCCCUAUGUCGUGUAUAAUGAAUUUUCGGACCUCUAUAUAGUAGAGAGAGAGUUGCAUGUGAAGCUUGCACUAGCAUUGGGCAUUCUUAUGUUGGACUCGGGACCAUAUUUCUUACAAUGAAAUUGAGCAUUACUUCAUGCAUUUAAACCUAUAUCUAAUUGAGACAUAAGGAAUUUUAAUAAGCCUUAAGAGGCUUGGGGACUUGUACUACUUAAGAAUGAUUGGGUUAAUGCCAUAAAGGGGCAUUGAGCUUGGGUUAAAUGAGAACCUAGUACUAAUGUCAUGAGUGGAACCUAGAAUAAGAAAUGUGUUUAACUUAUAACAACGCUUAAGUGUCAUAAAGAGGCACUAAGUAUAGUGAGUGUUGGAACAUCACUUGAGACACUGAACUAGAUCUUCGGGAUGCUAGUGACUAUUACCAUGGUAGAGACAUGAGGAUUGGAUACUUGAGACGAUGACCUUGCUUGCUUGUCAUUUGUGCUCAUUCGCACAUGCUUGUGAGGGUCGCUCCCUACAAGCCGGCACUCCGGAGUUGGCCUACGCGACUUAUGCUCGCCCAUGCGGUAUGGAGAAGCCUACGGGGUCGGGAGGGAUAGACUCAUUUCCAGAGUGGAAAUGCUGGAGUUACCACCGACACUUAGGCGGCGCAAGCCGGACUACACUCGUGUAGGUCCUAAAACAAGUUUGGACAUAAACUCUUAAACAUGAAUCACUACUAGAUAAAUCAUAGUAGUUGGAUCACUUGGCAUAUUUAUAGUGUGGCUUGAGACUUUGGGACAUGUAGUAUACUUGAUAGAAUUGCUUUGCAUCUUAGUAUAUUUGGCAGUUAUGAUGAACAUAUUCCCCUUGUAUUGGCAUAUUCAAUCAUGAUAGCAUUGAUACACAUCAUGUUUACAUGUGGCAUAGUAGCAUAGCAUUUCAUACAUGCUUUCAAUUCAGCAAUUUAUUAUUGUCUAAUACUAUCGUUACUUACCCCUUUUCUUUGGGGCUAGUGGUGCAUUGUGCUGAGGUCAGUAAUUGCUCACUGGGAACUAUAAAUUAUAGUUCUCACGCCCUCUGUUUCUUGUUUUUAUUUCAGAGUCUUCCACUCCGGGCAAAGCUAGGGACCGAGGAAAGGGAAUCGCCACGAGCUAGCUUGUGAGUGAGGGACGUUCGAUAGGUGGUCCACCUCUUCUUUGUUUUCUUUUUCGGAGAGGAUGAGAGUUAUAUCUUGUAUAGAGACCACCCUUUUUGUAGUACUUUUGUGAUGACUCUUGUACUGACUUUAUCUUUUUGUUUAGUAGUUUACUUUCCCCUUUCUCUACUUAUUGUUAGUUGUUAGUUGUUAGUAGCUCUGAUAUCUCUAGUGACUUUAUUUCUUCUUACUUUCAUAUCUCUUUUGUGGUAGACGCCUUAUAUGUGCAGCCAUAUGGCGGGUCUGGGCACGCACCGGGCGGGCCUAUGCCGGGUCCCGGGGCGUGACAGGUGACCUCUCAAAAAAUGGGGCGUCACACUAGUUAUCACCAGAACAGACUUAAUCCUUAUAUACCUAAAUAUAAUCCACUUUUUAUUUAAUAUAGAACUAUUAAAUAGUUAGAAGAGAAAAUAAUAUAACAGAGCAAUGCAUACUAUAAUCAUGAAUUAUUGUUCUUCUUGCUUCUUUUAAAUGACGUGAAUAUUGUGCUCGUUUGCUAAUUGGCAUGUCUUCAAUUUGUGGUAGAGCACAUAAAUAUUGUAGAGAUUAGUUUAAGUUGACAAAAUAAGAAAAUGAUGCUAGAAUACAAUAUAGUCACUGCGGUAUCAAUUCAAGACUAUAAAAUUAUAUAGGGAAAAUAAAAAUGUAAAUAUAAUAGUGCAUUUCAAUUUUUGAUCACAACUCUAUUAAUGAGUAAGAAUUAAGGAAUAGAAAUAUCAUAAGAUUUGUAUAAACUAAGAAGGUUUCAAUGCUGAUCAUUAUUAGUGAUUAUCAAUGGUACAACAUCUCUGCAUUUAAAAUUAUCUCUCAACUCGUUGAAAUGUGAAGGAACGAAAAAGUCAUGAUCUAAGCUCUAAGAAAUUGAGCUCCAUAAAAUGAGGAAAGAAAACUGAUAAAAGUGUGUUCCACAAAAUGAAGGGUGAAUAAUGAGAAGAAAUAAAAAUUAAGCAGUAAGAAAUUACUUCUGUUUAGUAAUAUUUAUAUACUAAGUUAGUAGAUCAUUAGAACAUUUUUAUUUGUUACUUUCUUUGAAAAAAAAUUAAAAUUUUAAAAAAAUUCAUAGCAAAACAUACUGGAGACAUCUGGCGAUGUUAAAGACUAUUUUACUAUUGUAAAUUUUUUUCUUAUGAGAAGUUAUAAGAAAAACACUAUUACAAUCCAGACCAAUAGUUUUCUCUCUAUAGCAAUUUUGGAAAAUACAAAUUCGAUCUUCUACUUAUGGAUCAUAAAAUUCUCUCUUCGCUUAGUGUUUAUUCUUUGCCAAAUAUUCUAUUAGAGAAGACUAUGAGAAGACUACCACGGAAAAUAGAAAUAGCAGAACGAUCAAAUAGGCAUAUAAGAAAACAUUGAGUAAUAGCCUAGAAUUUGAUUCCUUUGCUAACUUACCAAAUAUCUUAGUUUUGGUACUUGGUAAUUUGUAUCAUAAAUCUCUCCAAAUCAAAACCAAAAAUAGAAUAAAAGUCAAUGAAUUUCUAAAUAAAAAAAGUGACUAAAGGAAAAUCUAUAGUAAGCAAUAGUACUAGCACAUAAACUCUCUUGACAUUAUAAUCAAAUCCUAACAUUCAACCCAUUUAUUUUCUAUAUAGAUGAUCACUAACACUUUGCAAGUUGCUGAAGGACCGAUGAACAAUUUUGUUGUGUGUGUUUGGGGAGGGNGGUAGGGAGGGGGGAGGGGGAUGAGAACGGGAGAGAGAGGGUGAGGGAAGAGAUGAAGAGCGAAAUAAAGACGAAAAAGUCCAUAAAUGAGAUGCACUUCAUGUUUGAUGUCAUAUGCUUUAUAUACCAAUGAAGCAGCUCCAAUAUAGAAAUGUAUAUAAAUUAUUAUUUUUACUUUUAUGUGCAUACAGUACUCACUACUAAUUAAAAUAGUACAACAAUUUUGGACAGUAAAUUGGAGCAGGACUGCUGUGCUCUCAGGAGCACGGAGGCCUCCGUGCUCCUGAGCCGUUUUCGAUGAUGGAAUUUUCGAAUCGACAAUCGGCUCCGUUAGACUUGAUCUAACGUAUUUGAAGUUUCUAGAAAAUAAUUUUUGUGAUUUUUCGAUAUCAUUUACCUAGCAAUUGAAAGUAUUCAAAAUCAAUAAUUUUUAACGGCUGAAAAUAAAAAUCUUAUAAAAAGUGGUGAUAUAGUACUAAAAUUUUCGAUCAAAAAUAUUGAUCUUAUUGUAGAUAGUAUAAAGAAUUUUGUAUCAAAAUUUCAUCUGAUUUGAAUACUUCUACACCGUUAAACUUGAAAAUGGCAGAUAUUAACCAUUAAAAAUUAUUGAUUUUGAAUCCUUUCGAUCACUAUGUAAAUUAUAUCAAAAAAUCGUAAAAAUUAUUUUCAAAAAAUUUCAAAUAUGUUAGAUCAAGUCUAACGGAGCCGAUUGUUGAUUCAAAAAUUUCAUCAUCGAAAUGCUGACAAAGUUGGUGUUGUGCUUUAAACGCUGACAAAGUUGCCCCAAGUUAGAAAGGUUUAUAAUUUUUUUUUCCAUGCAUGUACCACUCGUUACUGCUUAUUUAGACAGUACUGCAAAUUUGGAUAGUACUUUAUAUAUGUUUUGACUUGCUGGCAUUAAGAUGCUCAUAGAAGACUCUGGAAACGUGUAAUAUCUAGAAAUUUGAAUUUGAAUAUAUAUAUAUAUAGAGAGAGAGAGAGAGAGUGCGGCUAGGAUGCUUAUGGAAGUACGGAGGGCUCCGUGCUUCCACUUUGUUUUCGAUGUUCGGACUUUCGAAUCGACGAUCGGCUCCGUUAGACUGAUACUAGAGUAUUUGAAUAUCUAGAAAAUAAAUUUUACGUUUUUCGAUUAUCACGUGGCUCAAAAUCAAGCAGCUUGAAAAUAAAAAUCUUACAAAAUAUGAUAAUAUGACAUUAAAUUUUAGAUCAAAGUUAUUGAUCUUGUUUAUAUGGUAUAAAAUUUUUUAUCAAAAUUUCAUGUGAUUGGAUAUUUCUACACGUUAAACUUGAACCGGCUCACACACGGCUAUUAAAAUUAUUAAUUUUGAGCCCCUUCGAUCACUAGGCCAAAUGAUAUCGAAAAUAUACAAAAUUUAUUUUCUAGGUACUUCAAAUACUCUAGAUCAACUCUAACGGAGCCGAUCGUCGAUUGAAAGUCCGAACAUCGAAAAACAACUUGGAACACGAAGGGCUCCGUGCUUCCAUAAGCCAUACCAGCACCUCUCUCUCUCUCUCUCUCUCUCUCUCUCUCUCUCUCUCUACCUACUAUAUAUAUAUAUAUAAUAUCUCUCUCUNNNNNNNNNNNNNNNNNNNNNNNNNNNNNNNNNNNNNNNNNNNNNNNNNNNNNNNNNNNNNNNNNNNNNNNNNNNNNNNNNNNNNNNNNNNNNNNNNNNNUUAACGGUAUAAAGGAAUCGGAAUAAGUUGAAUUUUUGAUAGAAAAUUUUAUUCACUACUUAGAUAAAGAUCAAUAACUCUGAUCUUAACUUGAAGGAUCCAAUCAUCCAUUUUUAGGACGUCGUUCGAUUUCGACUGUUCAUUUUAUGCCCGCUUGAUGGACUUUAUUAUAAUUUCAAAAAAUUAUGAAAUUUAUUUUUUAAAAGUUUCAAAUGCUCUAGAUCAUAUUUAACGGAGUGGAUCGUCGAUUCGAAAGCUCCAUCAUUGAAAAAAAAACUUAUGAAUACGAAGAACUCUAUACUCAAAAGGCUCCAUUUGGUUCGGGAAUUAAUAGGAAUCAGUUAUACCGGAGAUAAAUACAAGUAUGGAUUUUUGUAAGACUUAACAAGGAUAUUUUUUUUGUUUGGAUGAAAAUGUGAGUAUAAGCUGGAACUAGAAAAAUUGCGUUUGGAUGGUUAUUGGGAAUAAGAGCAAUAGUUGUUAGUUAUAAAUAGAAAAUAAUAAUAUUAUCCCUAUAAUUGAAUUUAAAUUUUUAAAUUUUAAACUUAUAUUUUAAAUUGAAAAUUGAAAAUGUUAACUUUAAAUUUUAAAAAUUGAAAUUAAAAUUUAAAAUUGUAAUUUUAAAUAUCAAAUUUGAAAUUUAAGACGCAAAUUUGAAAUUUAAAUAAACAAACAUAAUCAUAUUUAAAAAUUAAAAUUAAAUUUAAAAAUAUAAAUUUAUAAUUAUAAUUAUUAAAUUUAAAUUUAAUAAUUAUAAAUUAUAAAAAUUUAAAUUUAAACUUGAAGAAAUAAUUCUCUACUCUCUCUCUUCUCUCUUUCUCUCUCUAGUGGUGUGGAAUCACCCGCUUAGUCAGGUAUUCUACGAACCUCGCUAAGGUGGGAAUAACAGUUCUCAUUUGGGUUGACUCUUUGUUUGGGUAGCCAAGAUGCCCGCUUAAUACCCAUCUUGCAUCCUAUUCCAACCAGGGUGUAAGAGUAUAGUAACCCGUAUCUCAUCUCUCUCAUCUCGUCUUUUAUAUAUUAUAUUAGUAAUAUAUAUAAUUAUAUAUAUAUUACAUAUCUAAGAGAGAGAGAGAGAGAGAAGAGUUUGGGCUAGAAUAUUACUAUCGAUCAAACGGCUCCGUUGGCGCACCCAUUUGUUUUCGAUGAUGGAGCUUCUAAAUUGACAAUCGGCACCGUUGAACAUGAUCUAUACCAUUUGAAGUGUUUAGAAAUCAAAUUUUAUAUAUUUUCGAUAUUGUUCUCUUAUCCAUCGAGUGGACACAAAAAUGAACGGCUGAAAAUGAAUAUUCUUUAAAAAAUGAUGAUAGGAGUCUUGUAAUCAAGAUCAAGAGUAUAAAUCUUGUUCUAAAUAGUUUAAAAAAUUUUCUAAUCAAAAUUUAAUUGAUUUUGAUAUCUUUACACCGUUAAACGAGAAAAUGUCUUAUAAUUAAAAUUGCAAAAUUUGAACCUUUGAUCAUUAGGCCAAUGAUGUCAAAAAGAUUUAAAAUUUGAUUUCUAAAUACUUUAAGUGGUAUAGAUCAUGUUCAACGGUGCCGAUCGUCGAUUUGGAGGCUCUAUCAUCGAAAAUAAAUGAGUGGCAAUAGAGCUCGUUUGCUAUUGAUAGUAUUCUAGCUCAACACUCUCUCUCUCUCUCUCUCUCUCUCUCUCUCUCUAUAUAUAUAUAUAUAUAUAUAUAUAUAUAUUUCUACAGCUCUAUAUAUUUCUACAGCUCUAAUUUGUAAAAAGGCACUGUUUCAGGCCCUAGGGCAUGACAUUUGCUCUCUCCAAUAAAAUUAAGUAAUUAAAUACUCAUACUUUUCCAAUUAAAUCAAAUUCAGUUAAAAUCUUAUCUCAUAAGAUAUUAUGAAUAUUUAAUUAUUCUCUAAUUCAAUUAGAGAUAAGUAUGAAUCUCUCUAAUAUUUAAUUAUAUUUUAUCUAAUUUUAUUCUUAUCCAAUAAGAUUAUGUACUAAAUAUUAAAUCUCAUUUAAAUAUUUUAUGAUUAAAUAUUAUUCACUAAUCCGAUUAGUGGUAAAUUUAACUUUUGUGUAUAAUUCUCAAACUAAUUAUGAAAUCCUAAUCUAAUUAGAACUAUCAGUUAUAACUGAUUUGAAUAAUUAAAUCUAAUUUAAUUAAGCAGCUCCUCUUAUGUGAACGGCUCUCAUCCAAACAAUUUAGGUGCACACAAUUCCUGAUGUGUCUGACUGCAUAGGUUCAUUACCAUUCGGCAAUGGAGUUCAACAUCAAAACUUUUUGAUAUUUAAUUAAAACUCUUCUAAUCGAUAAAUAAGAACAAUUCAAUUCGAAUCAUUCAUAUUUUCUCACCGUUCGUGAGUGACACCUAGCAGUAUAUCACGACAAUCCAGAAUUGUGAUGAAGAAUAAACCUUUUCGCUUACAGUUAUCGCGUGAUUAAUUUUUUCCAACGUACAAUGUCCUAAUCGAACUAAGGUCAUGGUUACUUGCCAAACCUUAUCCUUCGACCAUAUGACUAGAAUAUCUGAAAGCAACUCAAUAUGGUUACAUAGUUGGAAACUCUUUUCACAUACCACAUAUCCUGGCGAGAGAUUUUUUGAGUCUAAUUUGAUAGACUGUAUUGGAUGUUCUCCCUUAUCAUUGAGAGUGUUGGAUUUCUUAUUGCGCAUUCAUAUGGCUUCCCGCAUAAAUUACUAUAGCCAAUCAGUACCGAACAUAAACCCAUAUCUAGACGAGUCUAAGUAUCAGUACUGUCAAACGGUAGCAACCUAUACGUGAAACAACUAUAAUACCUCUGGUCUGAGGAGUACUUCACACAAAUGUAGCAAUGAACUUGUCAUUGGCGAGCAUGGAACCAUGUGACUGUUCAACUAAAUAGUCAUGCUCAGUGUACUUGUUCUCUAUCAAGCACUUGUAUAUUUGUUCUAAUGUCCCUACACUAGUGACUUGAGAUUCGUCAACUCAAUUAGAAACAUAGUAUACACCGGCCUAUCCAGAAUAACAUCGUCCAGACUAUUUAAAGAAUCUCAUACAGAAAAGUACAUAUCUCAAAUUUCUAACUCUUAAGAAUAUGUCUUUUCAAACAAAGACCCUAUGAACAAUUUAUGUUAAUAUUAUACUAUUAUACAAUAGACAUGAAUAGGUUAUAUGCCCUCAUAUUAUGAAUUAUAAAUGAUUACUACAUAAAUACCCUAAAGCUAGUGUCACCAGAUUGGCUUUUAGGCAUAUAACUAACAACAUAUGCAUACGCCCUUGUUAGGGUGUAAACGAGCCGAAUAAGGAGCCGAGCAGAUCGGGCUUAGUGUUUCAGCAUCGUUUAAUAAGAAAGGCCGAACACGAGCUGGCUCGUUAAAGUGUCGAGCCGAAAUUCAGCUCGUGUUUGGUCGUAAUAAGUAGCCAACACGAGCUAGCUCACGAGCUGGCCAACGAACAUAAGUUAAAAAGAUUAGAUUAAAUAUAUAUAAAAAAUAAAUUAUAAAUAUUAUCCUUUAGACUUUAUCUGAUAGUUGGCACGUUUUACAUUAGAUGAAGUACUUUUUUAGUUGAAGCUCUGCCUUUAUUUUUUAUUUUGUAAAAAUUAAAUAAUAAAAAUAUAUAUUAUAUAUAAUUAUUUAUUUAUAUAUAUAAAUAUAAAUUAAAUAAAUUAUAUAAAUAUAAAAUAUAUAUAUUCGAGCUGUUAUCGAGCUGAAGACGAGCGAGCUGACUCCAGCUUGUGUUCGGCUCGUUUAUUAAACAAGCCGAAAAAUUUAGCUCAUGUUCGGCUCGUUUACUAAACGAGUGAUUCGAUCUCGAGCUCAUUUCGAGCCAAACACAAGCUGACUCAUGAACGGCGAGCUGGAUUGCCACCCCUACUGCUUGUCAUGCAGCUCUACUCGGUUAUGAAUGAGUAACGAGAAUUUGAUUCAAGUACUUUCAUAAUGGCACAUAAUUGUCAUUGUUAUACUGCAAUAUGUCCGUUGAAGAGUUAUGAACUGAAAAGAAUUAACAAAUUAAAAUUAAUGGCAUAACAACGACACAAUUUUCUACUCCCUUGUAGCAGUGGGUUCCUCGUUAAUAAGAAUGGUGGGAGCAGAAAGGAGCGGAUUGGCAACAGAAGGAUUUACCAAUAAGACAUUUUUUAAAGAAGCCCAUUAAGUCUCCUUAUCCUAAAAAUAAUAAUAAAGCUUCAAACAAUAAGAUUCAGGUUUACUGCGGUACUCUGCGGUCGACCGCCUUUCACGAAUGAUUGACCAAUUGCUAACUCGAGGGUUGUCUAUCCUUGAUUAUCUUAUCCAGUGAACUGUCAAGAAGCUUAUAUCGAUUGUAUGAUAUCACGAGGCUUAAAACCUCAGGUCGGACAUUGCUGAACUGCAUCCAGAAGUAGGGCGUUAUCUUCUCUGAGUGUCCCCAACCACUAAAGGGUAAAGCUAUUCAGAAUAGGACAAUGUGUGAAUGAGGGAAAGAAGGAAAAGAAGAAGCAUCUCAAGCACGAUUUUUUUAUCUUCAGUUUCUCGUCGAUUUGUUUUUCGGCUCGUCGCCAACUUUGCCUUUACUUAAGUGCUCUAUUGCAUAACUCUUCCCUUGAUGACACCGAGCGUUGUAGAUAAGUAUUAGGUGGCUAGGUUGAGGAGUAAGGGAUAGGUAGUGAGACAAGGAAAAGGGUAGAAAAAGGAGAAGGAAGGGAAAAAGAAGAAGGAAGGAGAAUAAGAGAAGAAUAAGAGAAAAUGGGAGAAUUGGCCUCCACUCUAGAAUACGAGGGCAGAGCUUAAAAGAGGGAGUAGAUGAGGGGCAAAGAAGAAGAGAAGAAGAAUAAUGAAAGAAGAAAGAAAGGAGACAAAGAAAGAUGAGGGGCUGGAUUAGAUUGACUUACAGUCGAAGCAUGCAAGCACUGUGUGUUUGUACACUUUAAGUGUGAUAGGUGUACACUAUCUUUCAGCUUGAGCUUAUGGAAUUAUUGGUUGGCGCUUUCGAUUCACAGAGAGGUUCAAGGGUGAUAAUAGAUAUAGGGGGGUGAGCAUAAAUAUAAAACUGUUCAAAAUAUCCGAUAUUCCAUACCCAAUCCGGACCCUACCCAGGCCUAUAAAAUAUAGAAAGUUGGGUUAAAAAAAAAAAAUACCCGUUAACGUUUCAGGUACGGAUUCGGAUACUUCAUAUCCAUACUUGACUUGGACCCAAUCUGUACCCGACCGAACCCGACCUUUUAAUAGGUAGGAUUCGAAAUAUUUUUUAAAUCAGGACCCGGACCUACUUGAAUAUCUGAUAGUAAAUAAAAAAGAUUUUAAGUUGAGGGACCGAUUUCAAUAGGACUUAUAGAUGAGGAAUCUUUGGGCGUGUUUGGUUCGCUUAUUUUUCACCCUGGAAUCGGAAUGGGAAUGGACGAAUCCGUUUGUGGGUGUUUGGUAUGCGGGGGUCCCAUUCCGAUUCCAAUUCCCGAGUGGAAUGGGAAUCCCCAAAUCACCCCUUUUUUCAAUCCGGCCUCCUAGGCCGGAUUGGAAGUUAAAUCCGGACGGAAUGAAUAUUUAUUCGAAUUAAAUUUAUUUUUUCAACUUUUUUAAUUAAAAUAUGAGUUAAAAUUUAAAAAAUAAAUAUAUAAUUUUAAAUUUUAAUUUGAACUUAAAUUAAAAAUUAAAAUUUAAUCAAGUAUUUUGAAUCUAACUUAUGAAUUUGAAUUUAAAUUAAAUUUUAAUUUAUAUAAAGUUUAUUCAAAUUUUAUUUCAAACUUAAAUUAAAUUUAUGAUUCAUAAUAAUAAUUUAAAUUGUAUUAUUUAAGUUGAAUUUGAAUAAAUCAAAAUUUAAUUUCAUACUUUGAAUAUCCCCACUCAACUUCAAAGUUUUAAUUUUUUUAAAAAAAUAGAUUAAAAUUUUGACAUUAUUUUCAAAAUUUUGAUGUAAAAUUAAUAUUUAAUUUGAAUUUAAAUUAAUAUAUUAUAAAGAUAAUGUUAGUAUAUUAAUUUGAUUAUGUUUUUUAUAUCCACCUGAACCAAACACCGACAAUGGAAAUGAUUUAUUACGAUUUCGAUUCAGGUGAUGAACCAAACCGAAUUAGGUAAUGAGUCAUUCCGAUUACGAUUCCAGCUUAUUUUGAUUCCGAUUCCGAUUCCGACUCCGACUUCGAACUAAACACACCCUUUAUAUAUUUUCAUUCUAGUGAAACCCUGACUGCUCUGUUUACUCCUUCAUUAUUAUUAUUAUUAUUAUUAUUAUUAUUAUUACUUUGUUUUACUUUUUAUUUUUUUAACCUUAGCUGCUCUGUUUACUACUUGAAUCUUCCUCUCUAAACAAGGAUCUUUAUUUAUUGUUGAAGUUAAAGAAAGGAGUAAAAAAAAUUAAAAAAAUAAAAAAUCAAACUCUAGCUGCUCUAUUUCCUUCUACGAUUUCUCUGACCAUCUUCGAUCCUACCUUCUCCUCACCUAAGCAGCUUGUCUCCGACGUCUCAUCUUACUAAUUGAUCUCUUUCUAAUCUGACAAGUAGCCUGCCACCCCACCUCGUCAAGCAGCUCGUCUUCUCUUUUGUCGAUCAAGAAGCCAAAAGAUUUUUAAGCUGCACGCCUGUGCCUCUACAUAAUUCCAAUCAUGGGGACUGCAUAGUCACAUCAGGCAAUUGCCAUUAAAAAUCAUAAGAUUUAUCUUAGUAAAUCUCAAUAAAGGACUAAUAUAUGCAAAUAAGAACGCGCAUACGAUUUAGACCUGACCCGUAACCGAUCCGUACCCGGUCUUUAAGUAGGUAGGAUACGAGUAGUCACUUCCAGACCCGCUCAAAUAAACCUGAUGAGUAUAUUAGUAACUCAAGUACUCAGACCUGGACCCGAUCCGAAGAUAAAUAUAUAGGGUAUAUACUUUUUUUCCUACUAAUUUCUUUUUAAGAGGAGGGGUAUAAUAUAUCAACUAUAUAUCCAGACUCGAUGCGAUCCACAAAGGCAAGAGGGGAGAGAGGACGGUGCGCACGUAUCGCCGCCCCGUCGAUUGAACAAGGCGGUGACAUAUACUACAAAAAUUUAACAAUUUAGAAAACUUUCAAUUUCUAUUAACUAUGCUUAAAAGUGUUUCGAUAUAGUGUAGUGUCACAUUUGAAAGCAUUGGUUAAAGUAUCGGCAAAUGAAGAGUCACGACACAUAUACCAAGCGUCGGUAAAAUAUAUUCUGACACUUUAAAGUGUCAGGAUAUUUUAAAAUUCUGACGCUUUAAAGUAUCGAAAAAUUAAAAAGAAUAGUUAAGUUUAUGAUUUAAUAUAUUGGUUUGAUACAUAUAGGAUUCAUAUGUUGAUGCUUUCUGAAACAUCAGUAUUUGCUAUAUUGUAGGGACGCUUGCUGCAAGCAUCAUCUUAAAAACGUGCUUAUAUUGAGAUUUUCUUGUAGUGCAUGACGAGUGGGAGAGGACAAAAAAUGACUAGACAAAUCGAGCAGUAAAUUAUGAGCCACAAGUAGCUUUACUCUUUUAAACCCUAAAAAAAAUUUAGUUAAAAGUGAUGAGAAAAAUAAUGCAUAAAAGACCACAAUUUGGUAGGCUGGAGUUAUCUUUUUUAUUUUUCCUUUUAAUAAGUGUGGUAUACGAUUUAAUAAUAAAGCUAGAAAAAAAAAUGUCCAACGCUGCCAGAACUUAAGCACUUUUGUAAACAAGCGCUUGGACUUUAAAUUUCAACAAAUAGACUCCUUCAAAUUUAUCAAGUAGUUCAAUAGGUCCAUCUUCUCAAUCGAAAUUAUUAAUUGCUAAGCCAUUUUGGUUACUUGUAUUAAUUGCAUAUAAUCUUAGAGGGAGCAUUGAAUUCUCAAGGACCAAAUUUAUUUUUUUAUUCUAACAUAUUUGAAAAUAGUAAUAAAUAUUAAAUAUGGAUUCGCUUUAUUCUUCAAUUAUAACGCUUUUAUCGUUAUUAUAAUAAAAAGAUAGAUUUUUUUUUGUCAUGCUAAAUUUAUUUGAGGAGUGCAAGACAAUAUGAGCAAAAUGGCUGUUCAAGCAGUAACUUUAUUUGAGGAGAGGGAUUCAUUAAAUUAUUUAAUAAAGUUAAGAGGGUUAAUAUAUAGUUGUCAACAAGUUUAAACCUAAAGAACCUGUAGGCAAAAAUGGCAAAGUUUUGAGGGGUCUUUCUACCAUUUUCCAUGAUGGUCCACAAACUAACUUGAUGGACCAAGUCCACGGAAUAAUUUUGGCUUUCCUUUCGGAGGCAAACGAAGCACGCGAGCACGCCUGGUGGGUCCCCCGUUGACACCACCGUCAGCGGUCGUGAUCAUGACGUCAUCAAAUCUCUUCCAUCGCUCACACGGUCUCACCAGGCUGGCAAAUGAGAGAGCCCUCUCACGUUGGGCGAGCGUUCGAAAUUAAAAUUUAUUUCAAGUCAAAUUUGAGUGUUACUGGGCUCACUCAAAUAGGACUCAAAGACACAGUAUUUGGAACAAAGGAGAAUAAGUUUUUGUUUUCUCUUUUGUUCUCGAACAUUACGUUUGGUAUCCGAAAAUAGUAGUUUUCAGAUUUUUGAAAUAAACUGGUAUAAGCCUGAGGCUACUGUUCCACCCUUUUUUUCUGUAAUAAGCUUGUUCCCAGAUAAGAACAAAAUUUAUUAAAGUCUAAAUUUAAUUUUAAUUAUGGUAUUAAAUUAUUAAUAAUCUAAUUAAUAUAUUUAAAUCAUUAUUUAUUACUUAAAUAAUAAAAUAAUUAAUUAAUUUAUUAUUUAUAAUUAAUUAUUAAUAAUUUAAUGUAUUUAUCCAUAAAUUAAAAUUUAUAUUGAUCAACCAUUAAUAUUUCUAUUAAUCUAAUUAAUUUUUUUACUAGUUAUCUAGCUAAAAUAAUUUACGUUAAAUUAUUUAUAUUUAAUUAAUUAAUUAAUAUAUUUUUAUUAUCUUAUACAAUAUUCAUAUCUAAUAAAUUUAUUAAUUUAUUAAAUUAUUUUUAAAUAAUAUUUUGAUGUUAAUUAAUUAGAUAAAAUAAUUUUAAUUUAAAAUUAUAACUCUUAUUUCCUUUGUUCCAAUCUAAUCAUCUAAACACUAUUUAGCUUAUUUCUAGGAAUAACUCAAUUUUCAUCCAAACACAAAAUUAGUCUAGUUUUUACUUAUAUCUGAACUUAUACAUAUUCCUAAGAUAAACAGUUUUUACUUAUAUCCGAACCAAAUGCAGCCAAAGAGCUCGAAUAUAAUAAUAUAUAUUAUGUAUUUCAAUUAUAUUUAUAGAGUUUUGGUUACUGGGUGUAUUUGCUUGCCCACAAAACCAAACCAACAAAACCCUAAUUUAAUUCUCUCUCUCUCCCUCUCUUUCACUUGCUCACAUAAUUGCUUCCCUUAAAUUAUUUUUCUUAAUAUUAUAAUAUCGCAUUCAUGCAUUUAUUUUGUAUGUUGAACUAUUAGAUAUAUUUUUAUAUUAAAUUUAAAUAAUAUUUUUUAAAAAUCAAGCUAUAAAUUGCAUGAUGUUAAAAAUUUCAAACCGCUCAUCUAAGGCUCAAGUUCGAUUGACUCGAAAUUAGACUCGCUCUAGCUCAACUCAAAUUAAUUUCAAGCCGAGUUUGAGCCAAAAUUUAGGUUCAAAAUUAAUUCAAGCCAAUCUUUAGCUGAACUAAGUUCGCUCAAGCUUGGCUCGUUAAUUUCCAACACUAUGCCUGGCUCCGCAUGAAAUUGACAUAGCAAUAUAUUUUUUGGACGCUCCUCCACUGAGGAACUGUAUACUUAUAUGUAAUUACAAUUUUACUGUAGUUAUAAUUAUAUAUAAAUCUUAAUUUAAUAUUUAAGUAAAUAUAUUUAAAAUUAACUGCUAUAGUCAAAAUUGUAUUAAUAUAUUCAAUUACAAUAUAGAGUUGAGACUAUAUUCAAGUUGACCGUAAUUUCAACUGCAGUAGUUGAAAAAGAUAAUUAUAAAAAAUAGCUAAUCUUACCAUACAAAUAACUUUUUAAAUAUAAAAUAUUAUUCUUUUAAUCUUACAAUUACAUAUAUAAAGUGAUAAAAUUUUGGUGGUAAUCUCAUUAUUAUACAUAUAAUAAAGUAAAAAAAUUUUGAAAUAUACUUCUCCACAGUAUCCAACCAAAUAAAUCGAAAAAAAAAUUUAAUCGAAAAAAAACAGUAUCCAACCAAAUAAAUUAUUUGUAAUUGCAACACUUUUUACUACAAUCAACCAAACAAAAUGCAUAUUAUUAUAACUGUUAUAUUUUCAACUAUAUAUAUAAAUCUCCAACUACAUUAUAUUUUUAAUUUCAUUCAACCAAACUGCCCCUAAAGGUCAGAAUCCUUACACUUCACUUAUAUAUAGGCCACCACUUUCCCACUGGUCUUAUUAAUUUUUUGAGUAAAUUUUAACUUAUCUCAUUAUGGUUUAGUGUAGUUUUACUUUGCCAAUAUAUAGUUCAAAAGUUUUUUUUUUUUUUUUAAGAGAACGGUAGUAUGCUACCCACUUUGUUUAUUCUUUCUAGAAAUAAACUUAGCUGGAAAUGUGAAUCAACUAGAAUUAGUUUGAUCUUGGAACCUCGGGUACCAAUCAUCAAACCCUUUGCCACUUACACUAGGAAUGGUCAGUUAUAUAAUUUAAAAGUUAUACUUGACUAUUCUUAAUGUGUUCGGAAGCACCAAGGGUCAAAAUUUUAGAUUCAAGUCGAUGAAAGGGUCAAAAAGUUGAAGCACCAAUGGCUCGUGUUCGGCCGCAGCUUGUGACGAGAUUGCAAUGCCCAACUCGAGAUCGGCUCGUAAUAUUAUAUUCGGGCUACCUUAUAUUUGGUUUAUUAAAGAAUCGCGCCGACCACAAGCUAUAGCUAGUUCUGGUUCACUCGUGUUCAACUUAUUGGCAGCUCUACCUACACGGUAAGAAACUUUACCAUGAUCCGUUUGCAUUGUACAACUAUGUUUUCUACUUCGUUGACUUUUCACCUCAUGUUUUUCGUUGACUUUUCACCUUAUUUACUUGGCUGCUAAGUAUGCCAAUAGUUAUUAGCUAGAUUGAUUCAGUUAAAGCCUACGAAUCUUAAAUUCAGCUACCAACCUAAUUAAUUCUUCAUAAUAAAGAAUUCAUAGCUGUCUUAUAUAGAGAAAGUAAGUACUCCUAGCGUACCACAUCAUUGGCAUGCAAAUGUAGAGUUCAAUGUUGAAGACUACUAUAAUUAGUCUCAUAACUGUGCAGAAUAGUGCUUGUCGACAAAUAUUUUACAGAUGAAAAUUUUUGACUUUUUUCAUUUAGGACAUGGAAAGGGGCUUCUGAACUCAAAAAACUACUAGAAAAAAAUAUGUUUAAGAAGUUUGAUAAAAACGACAUGUUAGUAUUGUUGGUAUAUAAGUUAUCCAGUACUGUCCUACAUAUGUAAUGGAGUCUGCGUUGCGCCAAGCCAUAAUCGAGAUCUAUGGACAUCUGUGUCUGUAUAUUUUAAAUGAAUUACUUAUAUCUCAAGCUUUUGGAAUAUUAGUUAAUGCCAACAACCCACCACUAGCACUCAGGAAAAGUAUUCUGAUCAUAUAUCUAAGGGCCGUAAUCUUCAAUGGUAAAAUUUAAAGGAAAAAAAAGAGGUUCUCUUCUAGUUACUUAAAUAUAUACCAUUUAAUAAAUGCACCUGUGCAAUAAGAUCACUAAGUUGUGCAUAAAGUAAUUAAGCUUAAUAAUUCAACAAUGCAAAUGAAACAUGAGGAUCGAUAUCCACAUUUAGACAUACUUUGGGUGGCACAGCGGCCCAGCUAGUUGAGUGGUUAUUCCAAAUCAGCCCUUUGUUUUGUUAAAAUCACUAGUUGAGAAGCUGUUGAACUACUUAAGGUUUGUUCAUAAUUAUUUGGAGGCAAACAUAUAUAUAAGAGAGAAAAAGAAAAUACGCUUGAAUAAAGUAUGAUGAAUUAGGUUUCUUGACGAGAAAAAAGUACUCUAGGGGCCUAAGAAAAUAAUAUUGAAAUAUCAAAAAGCAUUACUAGUGGUUACAGAAUCUGGAAAGCAAUGAAGCAAGCCUUUUCUCUUUUUAUUAUCUUAAGAUGCUAAGAGAAAAGUUUCUAGGGUGUAUCUUAUUGAAAUAAAAGGAUAAGCAUGCAUGUACUAGCAUUCCUAUAAACUUAGGAUAAGUGUAUGUCUGUAUUCCCACACAGCUAUGAAUUUGAUUGUCAAAGAUUGAGAACUACUUAACAGCUUUUUGUUAAAAUGACCUUCUUCAGUUGCAGCUAUUAAAAAAAAGAAUUCCAUACCGAUAACAUAAACCACAAAUGAUCAGUCAUUAGUUAUAUAUUUGCCACUUACAUACAAAUCACAUCAACAUCAUAGUGUGCUAUUUCUUGGUCUCAAAAAAUUUGAAUUAAAGCUCUAUAGCUGUUAAGCAAUUAAUAAAAUAAAUCUUCUCAUUCUUAGAGAGAAUUAUAACCAGCAACUUUCGAUAUACCUAGCUCUUAAGUAAAAUGAUCCUUGAAAAUUGUAAAAGGAAGACUGGGCUUUGGUUAUCAACCGCAUAGAAGCGAAAAUCAACGGAUGGAAAGCCAAACUCCUCUCACAAGGGGGAAGACUGACCCUUGUCAACUCGGUCCUGACCAGUCUGCCACUUUUCUACCUCUCCAUCUUCAAAGCGCGCUAAUGGGUUCUGCAUCGUAUUGAAGCCCUGAGAAGAGCCUUCUUCUGGAAAGGAUGCUCCAAAGUUUUUGGAGGAGCGUGCCUAGUCAGCUAGAAAACCGUAUGCAAAAGCAAGGAAGAAGGCGGGUUGGGAAUCAAAAACAUGGAGUCCAUGAAUCUGGCUCUCUUAACCAAAUGGUGGUGGCGAUUUUUUAAUGAGCCACACCUACUUUGGUACAAGCUGAUAAGAUCUCUCUAUCACACCAGACGCUGGCCGUUGCAUGAGGGCACAACCUUCAUACCGUACUCUCAGUGGUGGAAAGCGUGCUCCGGUGCCCAGAAAUAUGAACUUGGAGACGGUAACAACAUCAGGAUAUGGCCAGACAUCUGGAUCGGAGAAACCCCCCUGCGCACCAUGUUCCCAGACAUUUAUGCCAAUAUAAGGAAUAAGGAGGUCAGAGUCUCACAAUGUUGGAACUCUAACGGAUGGAGAUGGUGCUUCAUCUAUAGAGGGUUUGUGGCGUAUCAAUCCAUCAACAACGUUAGACAAUAUGCACUAUUCAAAGACCUACUCCUUCAUUAUAGCCCCAGGACCAGCCUGGACCUACUCAAAUGGCGGUGGACCCCCAACCAUCUGUUCGCGGUCAAAUCCCUCUACAGGUUCAUCGACAACGUAGGACUAAGGGACACGGAGAACCAACAUAUUUGGAAUUUAAAAAUCCCGGUUAAAAUCAAAGUCUUCAUCUGGGUGUUAAUCCGUAAGAAACUACUCACUGCUGACAGACUGCUCACCCGUGGGAUGCCGGUCGAUGAUCACUGUGUAUUCUGUGUGUUUGCUACGGAGAGCUGCGACCAUCUAUUCAACAACUGUGUCUUCGCUCGCUUCCUACUCAUCUGGGCGAAUGUACCCGUUGGGGAUUCGAGCGGUGUUCGGGCCCUCUGGAAUAAUAUAUCUGCUAUCACCGACUCAGCGAAAAGAUCGGAAGCUCAAACCUCUCUGGCGGCAAUUUGGUGGGUUGUGUGGACGGAAAGAAACAACUUUAUUUUCCGCUCGAAAAUCCCCAACGCCAUCCGAGCUCUUGAGUGCACCAAACUCCUGACAAAAUCCUAGAUCGAACUACCCUAUCCGCACCGGCAACUCCUCCACCUUCUAUUAAUUUUCUCGCUAUAUUACCAUGUCCUUUAUUUCACUCCCUUCCCUCAACUCCCUUCUAUUAUGUUUUUUCUGUUUGGCUCACUUCGGAGGCCCUAGCUGCUUCCACACUGUACGCUUAGUUUAUUUAGCUUAAUGAAUAUUGAAGCAGGUAGCUUGGCUACCUCUUUCUCAAAAACAAAAAAAAAGAGAGAAAGAGAAAGAAAAUUGUAAAUAUACUACAUCUAUAUAUCAUAAAUGCUAGUUCCGAUCGAAGUACAUGCUUCAUCUAUGUCCCAGCUUUUCUCGCGAUCAAGAUAAUUAUGACAAGCUUGCUGUUCACGGUAACUUUUUUUUAAUUGUAAUAUAUAUAUAUAUAUAUAUAUUUGUUGUAAUCCCGUCGUACUAUAUUUGCUUGAUAUACUUUAAUUAUUUGAAAGAUGAAAUGAAUCAGAUUAUUGCCCAUGAAUCUAUUUGUAGUAAUAGUUUUUUGAUCUGUUAAUUUGAAAUUUACUUGUCAACGGCUUCAAAAACCAAAUGCUUUUUUCAGUUUCAAUUUUCUCCUCUCAACCUUCCUACUGAAACUGUAAAAAAAAAAAAUGGUACAACUUUUUCUCAGUGGACAUAUAGUUCUUAAGACUAGUUAAUUCAUUCUCAAAAACUGUAUUCAUUGGAUUGUGACAUUCUAAAUAAGACACCUCUUUAAAUUCUUUGUUGUAUAAAUUUUGAUAAAGUUAAAUUUCUUUAUUUUUUAAUUUUUUACUGCAUUUAUACCAUCAAAAUAUAUUAGUAUUUAAUUACAGUAAACACUUUAUCUGUAGAAUAGAAUAACACCAAUAUUUUAAAAAAAAAAUGUCCAAUUUUGCUUGUACGACUCUUUCGUCGGCUGGCUAGUGGCUUUUCACACAAAAAAAGGCAGCAUUUUGAUUUUAAAAAAACAAGCCAUCGAGUGUUAUGAUCAUAGUAUCUGGUUAUCCCAAAUUAUACCCGCUUUUUUAAUAUUUUAAUGCACAUUAGCCUUUAGACCAUAUAAUCAAAUUAAUGAGAGGGUUUAACCAUGCACCUAUUGUUGAAUUAAGGAUUUAGAUAAUUAGAUAUGGUCAAAUUUUAAAAAACCUUCAAAAAUGAUGGCCAAAUGAAAAUUCAAGGGUACAACAAUUUUCCUAGAAAUUAACUCAUAUUUUUAGUGAAUGUGUAUAACUUCCAAAUCGAACUGUACAAAUUAACAGAGUUGGUGGCUGCUUAAUUUAUGUAAUCCUAAAUAUGGAGAACUCUCAACUGCUUAUGUCAACCGAUCGAUCAACUUGUUGGUAACUGUAGUUUUGCAGCAGUUUGUAAAUCCAAAUCUAAAUUUAACUUGUUAAUUAGCUAGCCCAAUCUAAUAAUUAACUUAAUUUUUUCUUUAUUCUCUAGCAGUCACCCUUCUUAAAACAUACCUUAUAUUAACGGAUUAUGGCCAUUAAAACAAAUUACACUAUUUGUUUUCAUCACUUUAAAAGUAGUCAAAACAGAUUAUGCUUUUUUUUUUUUUUUUUUUUUUUUUUUUAAAGAAUAACUAUAUGUCACGCCCCGGCCUUUUUGGAAAGUUAAUUUUUGAGAAAUUUAUCCAGUUUGAAAUCAGAGUUGUAAAAAAGCGUAUAAAAUUUUUUUUUUUAUAAAAAACUUGCCCGAGAGGUGCACAGAACCCCCCUACGUGCAGGGCAUUCUCUGUUCAUACGGACAAAGUUUUUCCUAUACAUGUACGGCAUAGAAGCAUAGAUACAGAACCACAAUCAAUCAAAACAAGAUAAUUUAAUUAUACAACUACGUACUAAUCAAUCUAAUACCAAAAUUCAAAAACGACUAAACCACUACAUAGGAAAACCCAAAAGCAACUAAACUCCAAACACAAAUGAUAUCACAUAACUACAACCAGAUCAUAAGGUACUGAAGUAAGGAAAAUCUAAAACUAUAAAUUAAGAUUCAUGGCACGAGCUCUCUAGGCGCUAACUAACCGUGUCCUUCCACCACACCCCGAUCCGCGCAUCAACAACACCUGUAAAAACAAUGAGGUGAGAAACAUAUAAAUAUAUUUUCCGGUGGGGGCAACCAGCCAACGAGGGCAAGCUGCACUCAUUGGCAAACAAAGGAGUACGGUAAACAAGUAAGAGCGAAAAUGUAAUAGUCAACUACAAUAGCAUCACAGAUAGAUAGAUAACUGUCAUGAUCUAGAAUACAAAAUAAUGCCGCUACCGUACUAGGAAUAGAAAUACUAACCACAAAGUGUCGACCAUAGUAGCAAAGAAAACCAGCGAAUAGUCAUCAUGAACAAUCAUAUAAGAGAUACCGCUACUGUAAACUAGUCAUAUGCUAACAUAAAGGAGCACCAACUACAAUAGCAAGAUGAAAAAUACAAAACAUCAUAACCCACUCACAAUGGAUGCCGCUAUUGUAGGCUAAACAACUACUAGAUACCAUGCAUGACUCAAAUCGAAAUACUAUGCAUCACCUGGACGUGUGAGAAGUCCAAGAUAUACGCAAUCGCUGUGGCCGCUCAUAAAGACCCAGCCUAAGCUCGCCACUAGUCUCAAGGACCAUAAAUCAAGUACCACUCCGGAGGGACACAUCAACCCGCAUCCAAAGUCGCUAAUUUUGUCUAAGCGCGAUGUAUAUCAAGUCUAGGGGGUGAGAACUCAAGGUGGCGAACCCUGUCUAUGAAACAUCACCUCUAAAUGGGCUGGCAACUGAAGUACCCUGGGUUAGGAACCCUGUCUAAGACUCCUUCAGUGCCAUACAAGCUAUAGUCAUAUGUAUAUACUCAAAGCUCCAAUAACCUAGACUCAACAGUCAAAUCACUGCCCGUAGGCGACAGCAAGAGUCAAGAGGUAAUCACACUGGAUGCCAAUGGAAAUACCAAGAUCGAAACUCCCCGGGUCGACUAACAUGCUACACUAAAUGAGUAUGCAAGAAAGAUAAAGAUAAUGCAAGUGACAGAGGUGAACAUGCUAAAGAUCCAAUCAUGACAGAAUACGUCAUCUGACCCUUAAGUCAAAAUCUGAGGAAGUAUACACCGAUCGACUAGGUCAAUCUCAUGGAGUAACUCGCUGACAAUAAGGUCAAGUCUCACCGAAAAUAAGUCAACUGAUGAUCAUAUCUCAACAAGAAGUACACAUCGAUAUACCAGAUCCAAUCGUACACAGGUGGAUAUUCUAUCAAAUCAUUACCUACUCUACAUGUCACACACGAGAUAGAAGAGAGUGCAAUCAAGAGUCUACGAAUCCAUACGAUAAUCAACGUAACAAUCAACAGGCAUGUAGAGUAAAAAGCAUGUAUAGACGUGAAGUCAGGGAAAGUUGUCCUACUCAAACAACAUAUAGAAUAGAUCAAGCAGAAAGAAAAAUCGGGUAAAAUACAACUUUACCGACUUCGGAAUAGAGCACCCACCUCACCUAAUAUCCGAGUCCUCGACUCGAACGAUGGUUCCAGAAGUAACCUAUACCUAACAAAUACCAACAAGCCAUCAUUAAACAUCUAAUAUUACCAAACAUCGUUGUCCAAUGUUCUUUAUGCAGUGAAAGAAAACAUCAAAAAGCCCUAUGAUGUCCUACGAAAUCGGUUUCCUAUAAAAGCCGAUCUCCGUAACUCGCCGGAAGCCUGGAAAUCACACCGGGACCAACAAACUGUCCCAAAAAGCACCAAUUCGCCACGAGUCACCCAUUGGCUCAAAACACAUCAUUCAGGGUGUCCUGGCAGCAAACACCAUUUCUCAUGUCGAGACGAUUAUCGUCGAGUAAUCGCUCCGAUCCGGGUUCCCAAAUGCAUCCAAUUUGACAUCGGAACCUUCUACCGCUCACCCUUCAUCUCUAGACACACAAGAGGACCAUGGCGGCCAGUCAAUGACGCUAGGUGAUGAUUUUCGAGGCAACCACGCAGCCAAAAAUUCAUCUCAAUGCGAAAUCGUGUUCCACCGACGAUUUCGCCGAAAAAUGCACCGAAAAUCUAUUUUUGAUCCCAUGAAGGCUUCAAAACCUGGACAACAAGUCCAGAAGGUCACAAUCAGUGACCACACGCUGCCCGAGGCAACCCACAUUGCCUUAAUUACAAGAUGGCCCCUAAGAGACCGGAUAAUUGCAACAUUAAGUACAAUGAGGCAAUGUUCAGGGCCGUUAUCAAAAUCUGCGCACCUCCGGGAUGAAGCGAGGGCAUCAGCUGAUAGGUCUCGAUGUGCUAGACAUCAUACUCGCUAUCUGGAGCAUGCACAACAACUGAAGAGCGCUAUGGAGCUUUUCCAAGUUUGGCAACCAAAUGGCUCCGGGAGUCAUGGGCCAAAAAUCAACGAAGAAAGGUCAUCGGAGGUGGGCACAACGUUCAGCAGAUUGAGGGGAUCGCCGUGCUCACCUUCAAGUUAGUCGAGGAGCUUCGGAUCGCCAGAAGCUGCGAACGGGGCAAAACCCUGCCAUAUGCUGUUAAACAUGGGGCAUAGGGGCUCCGACCGACUGUCGAUGGCCUGCAGGCGGGUGCAACGGCUGGGGUUGGCCGCGAAGGGAGAGGGAAACCCUGUGCUCCCCUCGGCCGGCGGCAAGAAGCGACUGUGGUAGCGACAACGACGACGCUUGGGGAGUUGCCUACUCACAUAAAUAUUUCUCGGGUUCAGGUAGCUAGCCGAGCAAAGAGGAGACCAGGGGCAACGACGACCGACCGAUAGGGGGUCUUUGGAUCGUACUGAGGCCAGCGGCGGCGGCGGGGAGCAAUGGUGUGCCGGAUCCGGAGCCACAACCCGAAACCUCCACAAUUGGGUCCAAGCCUUCGAAACCUCCACAAUUGGGUCCAAACCUUGGAUCUUGGUAAAUGGAGGCCUCGGCGGUGCCCGGGCCAUUGGAGGGUGGUCGCUGGACCUCCCAGAGAUCGGCAGCGAGGCUCCGGGGCAGCGCGGCCAAGUGCUAAGAUGGCUCGGGCCCGAUUGCAGCUUAGAGAGAGAAAGAGAGAGAGAGAGAGAGAGGGGACCUCGCCGGCCGGAGCUUCGCCGACGCCAGUGAAGUACAGAGGGUGGCAGUGAUUGUGAGCAGGGAGAGGGAGAGGAGAUUAGGGUUAAUAUAAUAUAUGUAUAUAUUAUUAUGGGGCAAUUGCUUAUAUACCCCUAAAAAGUUUCCGACUUUCUGAUUUACCCCUCUUAGAAGGCUAAUAUUGAAAAUACCCUUUUUACAUUCCAACCUAUGUCAAAUAUACCCUUCCUCCGUUUGGUUCGGGGCUAAGGAAAAAGUAGCUAUUCCAGGGAUAGAGUUAAGUUCAGGGUUAAAGUGGGGUUAAAUUUUUUUUGUGUUUGGUUGGGGGUUGGAGUUAGUCUAGAAUAAUAAAAAAUAGUGUUUGGUUGGAGUAGGUGGGAUAAGAAGAUAAUAAUUGAUAAAGAGGAUAAUGAUUGGUUGGAGUAGGUGUGAUAAGAAAGAUAGUAGGUUAUUAUGAAUAGAAAAAAGUGUUUGGUUGGAGUUUGGUGGGGUUAGGUGGGGUUAGCUAACCCGGGAUAAUUUAUUUGAGGUGGGGUUAAGUGGGGUUAGCUAACCCCACCUAUUUUUUGGGGUUUUUGGGGAUAAAAUGGGGGUUAAGGGGUUAUUCCACCUCUUAACCCCCAACCAAACAAGGGCUUAGAGUUAAAUUUUGUUAAUAAACUCUGUUAUCUAUAUAAAAUUACUAUUUUGCUCUUUCAAAUAUACCCUUCCACCAUCACCGACUUUUCUUAUUUGCCCUUAAGUCAGGGGCAUAAAAAGUAUUUUAACUUUUGAUCUUUUCAAAUAUUCCCCUCUACUGUCACCAAUAUUUCUUAUUUGCCCUUAAGUUAAGGGCAAAAUUAGCAUUUUAAUUUUCUUUAACUGUGGUAGAUAUUUAGCUCACGUUUAACUCAAGUUAACUUAACAGGUGAUAACUGUAGGGGUAUUUUGGAAUAACAGAGGAACACAUGAGGGGUAUAUUGGAAAGAGAAAAAAAAGUAGGGGUAAUUGAGAUAUUUUCAAAGUUUUGAGGGGUAUAUAGACAAUUAUCCCUAUUAUUAUAUAUACAUACAUGUACAUAUAUAUAUAUAUAUGUGUAUAUAUAUAUAUAUGUGUAUAUAUAUAUAUAUGUGUAUAUAUAUAUAUGUGUAUAUAUAUAUAUGUGUAUAUAUAUAUAUAUAUAUAUAUGUAUANNNNNNNNNNNNNNNNNNNNNNNNNNNNNNNNNNNNNNNNNNNNNNNNNNNNNNNNNNNNNNNNNNNNNNNNNNNNNNNNNNNNNNNNNNNNNNNNNNNNNNNNNNNNNNNNNNNNNNNNNNNNNNNNNNNNNNNNNNNNNNNNNNNNNNNNNNNNNNNNNNNNNNNNNNNNNNNNNNNNNNNNNNNNNNNNNNNNNNNNNNNNNNNNNNNNNNNNNNNNNNNNNNNNNNNNNNNNNNNNNNNNNNNNNNNNNNNNNNNNNNNNNNNNNNNNNNNNNNNNNNNNNNNNNNNNNNNNNNNNNNNNNNNNNNNNNNNNNNNNNNNNNNNNNNNNNNNNNNNNNNNNNNNNNNNNNNNNNNNNNNNNNNNNNNNNNNNNNNNNNNNNNNNNNNNNNNNNNNNNNNNNNNNNNNNNNNNNNNNNNNNNNNNNNNNNNNNNNNNNNNNNNNNNNNNNNNNNNNAUGUAUAUACAUAUAUCUCUCCUAAUUGCACAAUUGCAAUAGGACUGACUCCUCUACAAACAUCUAUGGGUGAAUUUUGGGUUUUAAAUUGUGAAUAUGAGGGACUAAAUUGUAAUUUUUAUAAUUUGUGAAAAAGGGUACUGUGUGCGAUGGUGUUAUUAUUUCAUGUGAGAAAUUUUAGAAUUUUUAGGAGUGGAAGGACUCAUGUGAAACUAGACUCAGAGUAGAACAUGUGGGUUAAAUCUCAUGAAAUUCUGAGAAUUCUAUGAAUCACAACACCAAUUUGAGUUUAGAGAGAGGAAAUCGAUCAGGGGAUACCAAACAAGGCCAACUUUAAUUUAUCUUGUCUAAUAGUAUUAAAUGACCCUUAAUACCAAACAAGCCCAAAGUUACAAAAAGAGUAAAAUACUUGAUUGUUAUAUAUAUACUAAUUAACAUUUAGUAAACUGUAGGCUAAUAACUGUGAGCUUGGUUUGAAAGUGUACGAACUAAUUUAGUAUCUAACCAACAUUAAUUUAAGGAUUUAAUAUGUAAUUAAUUCCAGAAAAGAACAACAAACUUACCCCUUCACUUUCUUAAUUACUUUUUCUCACUCAUACUCUUAAAAGAACAAAAAGAAGGAUUGCACAAUCAGAAAGAUAAGCAAAGCCAAGGACCCAUGAAAGGAGCUGACCAAUCUACUUUGGGGUGUAUGAAAGUAAAGAUAGAAUACUCCAUCAUAUCCCUUUGUACUCAAGCAAUUAAGUUUUAAUGCAUAAAUUCAAAAAAAGUUUAAAAACCCAAAACCCAAUAAUUCGAUAAAAGAAAAGAAAAGAAAAGAAAAGAAAAAAUAUCCUUUAAUAAACCAGAAAAGUUAAAAUUACUCCAUCCACCUCUUCACUUUUCCUAAGGUCAGAUGCUCAGCAAGUCUAACCUGUUUUCUAUUAUACCAAACCGCCACACACCACCUCCCAAGGGUGGGUUUCAUAUAUAUUCGUCUUCUUCUUCUUUCCCAAUCCUUGCUCUUUUUCCAUCACACCAAAUUCCCCCACACAAGAGAACAACAAGCCAAGAGAAGAGAAGAUUCUAAACAGGAGAAGAGAGAAGUAGAUUUUUACUACCACAGGAGAGAGAGAGAGAGAGAGAGAGAGAGAGAGAGAGAGAGAGAGAGAGAGGAUUAUGGCUGAUGAUCUCCAUACAGCAGGGAUAUGCAGUGGAAGAGGGAGCUGGUGGAUGAACUCAGCGAGGAGCAGCGCCGGACUCGAUGGUCAGAUUGCGAUCUCCUCGACGUCGAUAGCCGACAUCGAUGCAAGAGGGUCGACCUUCAGUUGGUCGGCGGGCGAGAGCAAGUCGCGGUCCUGCGAAGAGUCCACUGGCUCGGCCUCUGCCGGAAGCUCAAUAACCUUCCAAGACACCCACUUAAAUCCCUCCAUGAACUGGAAUGAAACCCUACUGUAAGUGAUCUUCUUUCUUUGUAUAUAUGCGUUUAGAGAGAUAUAUACAUAUACAUAUAUAUAGAGAGAGAGAUAUAUAGGGUUUUUCUUUUUUUUUCCUUUGAGAAAAUUAUCUAUAUAUUUUGAUUGAUGGGUUCGGCAGAUUCCUACUUCACCUUUACUGAAAAUAACAGGUAAGGUGUAUGCGAAAUUUAACAAAAAGAUUUAAGUGUAAGAUUCAAUUUUGUAGAAUUGCACUUGCCAAAUCUACAUGAUAUGUUGCAUGCUUAACAUAUAUAUAUGAACUCUUAUUUCCGUGAAUUUUAUAUAUGAUGGAGAAGCAGCGGCGGAAAAGCUGAUACAAGAAUUCAAGCCAUGCACCAAGAUGAUCUAAGCAAAAGGCCCUAUUGGCAUGACGGACUGUUGAUAGACUCGUAUCGAGCUCACGUUGGUGUCGAAGAAUCCUCCACAAAUUUAUUCAAGGAGAUUAACCAUGGAAAAAAUUUCCUCCUGGACAAACAUCUGUUGAAUUCAAGUAACGAAGCUUCCGCUUCCUUUGGAAGCCCUUCUAGAUUGCUCCAAACCUUUAUCACUAGCGAGGCGAAUCCUCCACUUUCGAUUUAUGGAAACCCAUAUCUACAUCAUCAGAGUUCGACGGCUACGGCUUCUCAUGAGAGCUUAAGUGAGCUUUUGCAGCCCUCAUGGACAAAAUUCUCUCAGUUGGUUAAGCCUUCACCAUUAAAGAAUCAGUUGCAGUUCUCCAAUAGCACUCCCUUUUGGAACCCUUCUUCUACUGCUAUGAAUGAAGUGAGUUCAGGGUUUUACCCCUCCGUGCCUUCGCAGUUCAUCUCACAGCAGAAACCAAGUUACAGCAAUCUCAUAGUGAAGGAGAAAUCUUUGGUACCGUAUUCUUUCUUUUUUUUUUUCAUGAUUUUUAGGGUUUUACUUGUGUUCAACUCAAUUUAGUGAUGCAACUCAGCAACUCACAAUCAUGUAUGUAGUUAAAUUCGGAACAAGUUCAAGACUCAUGCUCAUCUGCAAAAAAGAAAAGCAGCAGUGGUGAUGAUCAUCAACCCACGUUUAAAAAGCCUCGAAUCGAGACCCCGUCGCCAUUACCGACCUUUAAAGUACGACACUAUCUGCUUGAGAUCUUUAUAAUCUAUAGCAGUUUGAUAUCUCACUUUCUUCUUUGCUUCUUUCUGUUUAAGCUUUCAUGAUAGCUUUUUUGAGCUCAUUGUUUGGAUAUGUAGGUGAGGAAAGAGAAAUUAGGGGACAGAAUCACUGCGCUCCAACAGCUGGUUUCUCCUUUUGGAAAGGUAUCUCAUAUAUCCUUUAAAUGAUCACUCUCACUCUCUCUCUCUCUCUCUCUCUCUCUCUCUCUCUCUCUCUAUAUAUAUAUAUAUAUAAGAGAUAAUUUGUUGGCUUAUGUUCUAGAUCCUUUUGUGUUUGCAAUUAAAUGUUUAUUAAGCUUCCAAUAUGUAUAGAACUGAAUCUUUCCUUCCAACUUUAUUAUUUCAGACUGAUACAGCAUCAGUUCUUCAUGAAGCCUUUGAGUAUAUUAAGUUCCUUCAUGAACAAGUGAGUGUAAGUAUCUCUACUAGUUUUAUAUAUAUAUAUAUAUAUAUAUAUAUAGAAAAAAUAGCCAAUAUCGAAUUGUAUUUAAUAAUAUCUGUUUCUUAACUGCAGGUUUUGAGCACACCAUAUAUGAAAAAUGAGGAUCUCACGCAGCACCAGCAGGUACAAAGCUCUUCAACCUGCACUCACUUAACUACUUACUAAUAUAAAUGUUAGUUUCAUACACAAUGAAGAACUUGGCUAUAAAAGUUAAUGUUUUAGGGUUUGGAGAGGUUGAACGAUGGCGAGGGACCGAAACAAGACCUUAGAAGCCGAGGUUUGUGUUUGGUUCCGAUUACGAGCACUUAUCCGGUCGCUACCGAGACUGUCGCAGAAUUCUGGCACCCUACCUUUGGAGGAAGCUUCAGGUAGUGGGGUAAGGGCUCUGAGGAAAAAGAUUGGAUUACAACUUUUUUAUUAUAAAGAAGCAAAAUUCAAUGGUUGUUGUUAAAGAAGUGGGAGAUCAAUCAAGAGUGACAGAAAAUGCAUAUAUUGUUUGUAAAAUUAUAGUUAUUUGCAGGGAGAAAAGCAAAACCCUAACAUAGGAAAGAUAAGGAAAUGAGGUGGCCCUUCAAAGACAGGAAUUGUUGGGACAGCUAUAUACAAGGAGAAUGUUGUGAGGUAGGUCAUGGUGUAUAGAGCUUUAGAAAGAAUGUUCAAUAUAUAAUUAAUGUUGUUGUAUUUUAUUGAUUAAGAGGUGGGUCAAAGAAUUAAUGGGAACAGUUGCUGAAUUUGGUAAAGCAAAUAGUAGGGAUUAGCUCUAAAUAUAUUUAUAAAUGUCAGAUAUAUAGAGGUCUAGACAUAGCAAUGAUAUGAUAUUUCAAACUAUGCUAGAAAAAUUUUACAACCAAAUUCAAUGAUCUUUUUGAAUUUUCGGACCUAAUUUAGAUGUAAACAAAGUGUAGUAGUAAAACUAAUACAAAUAUUUAAGUAUGGAAGAAAUAAUUAAAAAAAUAGGACAAAUUAUUAGAGAUUAGUUUUGGAGGUGGGGGCUAGAGUUAGCAGCUAAAUUUAGCAGGAGAGAAAUGAUCAUCUGUCUUUUGUUGGAUGUGUGUACUUUAGUUUAAUUAAGGGGCUUUUUUUGCAAAUAGCCCCCUUACAAAUUUUUUUUUUAAAAUUGGCCCUGUCAAAAAUUUAUUUGCAAAAAUGGCCCUGGCUCCGCCACGCAAGCGCCACGUCAGCGCCACGCGGGCGGGGCUGGGCCAGAUGGUUAAGUUGAACAUGGUGAACCAUUCACCGUGUUCAAUACAAAGUUUUUGUAUUGGACACGGUUAAUAAUUCACCGUGUCCAAUACAAAAUAGCAAGACCGAAAUAUUUGUAUUGGACACGGUGAACCAUUCACCGUGUCCAAUACAAAUAAUUGGACACGGUGAAUGGUUCACCGUGUCUAAUACAAAUACCUCCAACUUAGCCAUUGUUGGGGUAUUUGUAUUGGACACGGUGAACCAUUCACCGUGUCGAAUACAAAAAUCUUGUAUUGAACACGGUGAAUGGUUCACUGUGUUCAACUUAAACAUCUGGGCCCGCCCUGCCCGCGUGGCGCUGACGUGGCACUGACGUGGCAGGGGCAGGGCCAUUUUUACAAAUAAUUUUUGGACGAGACUAUUUUUACAAAUAAAAUUUGUCAGGGGGCUAUUUGCAAAAAAAAGCCUUUAAUUAAGGGCCGGCACCUUUUCUUUUUCUUUUUCUUCUCCCAAAAAAAAAAUAAUAAGGAAUAAUUGGACUUGGACAUUUUUGGUUUGGAGUAUCUUACUUUUUGAUUUAUUUAAUGUUUUCAUAUGAUGAUAGUGGAAGUCAGAGGUGACCAACUUUAAAGGCGCUCCCCCUUUCUCUCUCUUCAAGUAGCACAUUAAUUGGUUUCUUUUUAAGUUGUGUUUCAAAUAAACUUCAAACAAUUAAUUCCGAAGUAUAUUAAAGAGUUGAAUGAAAAAGAAGUGUCAAUCCCCAAAAUCAUGAUUGCAGGACAUCAAUUAACAUUUAUUUGUUCCCCACUUUUGUUUAUGUUUGUUGCAGAAAUUCCUAUAAUCUAGAUUUAGGUGUAGGGACCUCUGGAAUAAUUAGGAAAGAAAUUAUUGCAAUAAUUAGUUAAAUAGGGUAACAUUACAAUAGAAUUAGGUUAUAGGGACACAUGUAGGGAUGUAAAACGGGCCGGGCGGCCCACGUGCCGCCCGGCCCGGCACGGCCUCGGGCCGGGCCACAGCACGGCACGGGUACUGUAGCANCCGAUGUGGCCCGAAAAAUGUGGGCCGUGCCAGCCCGGCACGGCCCACAUUACACCCCUAGACACAUGUUUGGGACACUUUUAAGUAAGUGUCCCAUUUAUGCUAAAACUUAAAAAAAUAUCUACUAAUGCCUAAAUAUAAAGCCCAAUUCAACCAAAAUAAAAGAUUACUCUACUCAACCCACCACACCCAGUCCAUUUGGCCCGAUUACAAAUAGAAAAGAAAAAAAAAAAAGAAAAAUCAAUUACCAUCUUUUCUUCUCUCUUCACUCAAUCCACUGAAAUUCUAGACGAAGAGCCUUUCCUGUCGUCCUCCUCCGCCACCGCAGCCAACGAGAUAGAGUUUCGACGGUUGCUAAAUGCUUAAAUAAGUGUUGGUAAUUAGCAGCACUCUUUUAGAUUAUAGCGACACUCUUUAACUGUCACUAUAUACCUAGCGACCCCACAUAUAGCAACACUUUUUAAAAGUGUUAGUAAUUUUAGCUAGCAGCACUUUUUUGACAUGUACCUACAUUUAAAAGUGUCGCUAUAGAUCGUUUUUGUUGUAGUGUAAAUUGCAAUAGUCAACAAACUUUCGGCCAAUUUUCAUUUCCAUUUCCAAAAUUUUAAUUUCGACAUUUAAAUCUCUAAACAUUUAAUAAAGAUAUUUUAUUUUACUUUCUAAACUUACUAAUGUUUUAUUUUAAUCCUUAUCU
This 70378-nucleotide long non-coding RNA is filed under the name Ananas comosus (pineapple). RNAcentral describes it as "long non-coding RNA (ACOM_LNC006932)". The record is from RNAcentral. Lineage: Eukaryota; Viridiplantae; Streptophyta; Magnoliopsida; Poales; Bromeliaceae.